This 51384-nucleotide long non-coding RNA is filed under the name Vitis vinifera (wine grape). RNAcentral's name for it is "long non-coding RNA (VVIN_LNC005717)". The record is from RNAcentral. Lineage: Eukaryota; Viridiplantae; Streptophyta; Magnoliopsida; Vitales; Vitaceae.
GACAACAACUCGAGUGGGUUGGGUUGAGUUCAUGGCUAAUCCCACAUCAACCUAUUUCAAUGGGAGAUUGAUUCAACACAUUUGAAUAUAGUAACAUUGGGAAACAUCUUCAUUGUUUCAGUGCUUCAACAAAGGUUUGGAAAUUCUUGUAAGAAGAUCCCCCUUCAAUCACACUUUUUCUAGCCAUUUCCUUCAACUUCUCUGCAUUUGCUUUUAUACCAUCAUCAGAAACCAACAUUUCGAUCUUCUUCUUAAUCUCAUGCCUUGAUAUGAAUCCAUUUUCAUCUGGGUUCAACCCCAAGCCCACCUUCCAUUUGUCGCAUAUGUAACUCUGGUUAUGGAAUUGAUCUGCAAAGUAAGGCCAGCAUAGGAAGGGGACUCCUAUGCCUAUGCCGUCCAUGGUUGAGUUCCAUCCACAAUGGGAUAAGAAACAUGCAACAGAAGGGUGAGCUAACACCUUUUCUUGGGGUGCCCAUGAAACAAUCUUUCCAUGCUCAGCUACUCUCUCUAUGAAACCAUCUGGGUAUUCAGCAGCUGAUCCAUUGGUGAAGUCUGAUCGGACAACCCAUAAAAAUGGCCGGCCUACAAGUUCAAUACCCAGUGCUAGUUCAUUGAAUUGGUUCUGGCUUAAGAUUGCUAGGCUUCCAAAGGCAACAUAAAUGACUGAGCCAGCAGGUUGCUUAUCGAGCCAGCCUAUGCAAGUUGAAUCCUCAGGCCAAAAGUUUCCAGUAUAAUGACCCAGAUGAUUACUUGCAAGUAACGGGCCUAUUGGUAAUAUGUUGGGUAUCAAGUCACAAGCAGAUGAGUCAAGUUCGUAAACAGAGUUGCAAAGAAGCCAAUUGGAAAGAUUCUUAGCUGGGAUGCAUUGUAGAGCAAGUCGGAAAAGGAUCUCUUGUACGGUUAGAUCACUUGGGCAGCCCCAGGGCAAUCUGUUGCUGCUAAAGGCUGGGAUAUCCUUUGCCAGGCAGAUCAACUCCUCGUUCAAAAGAGAUCCUGCAAAGUUGUUUCAAUUAUUUCCAUUAAAACCAAGAAAAUACUUAGCUACUUCCCCUGAUUUUUAUUUAAUUUUCAGGGGCUAUUAGCUUUAGUCUCUAACUUGUUUUCAAUUACUAGAACCUUCAUGUUUCAACAAAUUUAAUUUUAGAAAUAUGAUAUGUGCAAGUUGAAGUGUUAAUACCAUCAAUACCAUUUACAUGUCCGGCCUCAAUAAGCCUUGGAAUGUCAAAUACCAAAGCCAAGGUUCCUGGUCCACAGGGGCAAAACGCAACGCUCUCGAUCCCCAUCUUCUCGGCAACCUCUAGCGCCCACCCAACUGUUGUAUCAGCAAUAACACAAGUGAUCUUCUCAUCAUCAUUCGAGUUGUUAACCUUCUCAAUCAACUCCUUCAAAUGACCCGGCAUGACUCUUAAAAUACUGUCUGUCGACUUGAGUGGAUCUUUUCGAUCCUCCCCUGGACCCAGUCCAUCUGGGAUCGAGGCUAGCCCAAUCCGACUCCGAGCCUCAUCCUCAUCUGGCAGUGCAGCCACCAGUUUUUCAUGUAUGAAGUCUGAGUUAACAAAGGUGACCUUGAUCCCAUGAUCAGAAAUCUGGUACGCAAACUUCAUAAGGGGAGUAACAUGUCCUUGUGCUGGGAAUGGAAUAAUCAGCACAUGAGGUCGCCUGCCCAUGGUUGCUGCCAACAUGUCCACACACUUCUGCUUCGUCUGAUCCGAAGUUUCAGGAUUAAUACCGAUUCUCUUUAUUAGCCUGAGCCCUCUAUUGUGUGAAUCGUAUACCUAUUUGCAAAAAUUUUAGCUGCAGCCCAUCUCUUACACAUGAACUUCAUACAUUAUCUGAAAGAUAUGGUGUUGUGGCUCAAAUUCUUUGGCACUUGGCUUUUAUCUCCUAUCUAUUCUGUCUUUAUCAAGUGUCUUGCGUGUCUCUCCCGUUACUUUGGUGUAAUUUUAAAGCUAUAUUGCACUGAUAAACUUUUGGUUUCUACAUUACACACUCCAUAUAUGCAUUAAACUUUUUGUUAGUGCAGUCAUUGGAUUGUAGCCAUUUUUUCUACUUGGUUUUUCCACCAAGUUAUUGAUACCCUAUGGAUUUAUUCUCAAGUGCUUCAAGGUAUAUUAUCAGAAGUUACCAUUGGUUGUUUGCUUUGUCUUUUAUCUAGCUAGAACCUCAUAUGUAGCUAGCCUCUUUUUGUUGUUGCAUGAUUGGUUUGAGCUCUUCCUUCUUAUCCCAUGUGUUUGUUGACCAAGCUUGUAUUGAUGUUGAACCUGAUUGAUGCUAGUAGCAAGGGAAAUGAAAAUUUGGACAAUGGCUAGAUUUCACCUUAAUAAUAUCACUCUCAAAUGCUUCUACAUAAUUCCCAAAUACUUUAGCAUAUAUUCUAGCUAGGGAAGUGAUCUCUAGUUUUUUUCUGUCCUUUAUGGAGGGUCUUAAGCAGCCAGCCUCGUUUUCUAGUUGUAUGGCUUUUAGUUCUUGGUUCUUUUCCCAUAUAUUGGUCUUUUUCUCUAUCUUAUAUGCCUUCAAAUGAUCCCAUUUUCCUCUGGGUUCAGCCCUAAACCCACCUUUGUACAUCACAGAUACGGAAGUGGUCGCCAAGGUAAGGACAAACCUUCACCAUUCAGUUCCAAGCAGAGUGGAUUAAGAAACCAGCAAGGACAAACCCUUGGCAUUGAUUCACUCAGCCGGUGGCAGAGCCAAGAAUUUUUCUCAGAACAAGCAUUACAAUAACCCUGGAUGAAUUUUAGAAAUUGCUGAAAAUGAGUAACUUUAGACUUUAGUCAUGAAUAAAUAUAACAUAUCAAAUUAAAAAUUAAAAUUAGAUUUUAUUAACUUACUAGUUAAAAAUUGAAAUUUAAAAAGAAAAUUUUCAAAAAGUUAAAAAAUGGUAAGAAAAUAAGAAAUCUUACUAGUUAUUUCUCAAUAAUUUUAAUAAUCUCUUCCUAGUAAAAAGGUUCUUUAAAAAAUUUAUUUUUUUCCCAAACAGCUACAUAUAAAUGAGUUGGAAGUAAUAAAAUAUUUUAUUAAUAUUUUCCUAUGAUAUAGUAAGAUGUUAAAAUUCCAAGUAAAAUAUAAAUAGUUAGUUAGAGUUUGAUAUUUAUUAUUAUGUAUUAAGGUACCCUAUUCUAACAAAAUUCUAGAGCACCCAAGAGGUAUUGUUUAGAAGAUUUACUAGUAAUAAUUGGAUUUCUGAUUUCAAUCUUCAUAAAGUAAUAGCAAGAACCAAAACUAAUAAAAAGAACUUGAUUAUAAGGUUUUGGUUAACAAUUUUUUUUUCCAAAUAUUAUGAGGUCUAUGCUACAUAUUUUUUGAGAUGACAUUUAAAACCAUUCAAGUACAAUUGAAUUUGUUUGGGUGAAUAAUAACAUUAAAGGAUGUACUUCGAGUUUAUUGUAUGAUGAAACCCUUUUGAGCAGAAAAAAAAAAAAACCAAUUUUGCAUAUGAGUGUAUGCUUGAGACUAUUUCUGUAUAUAUUUGUCAUUUUUUAUUUGUGUUAUUGGUUGAGCUCGCCAGGGUUUUCAAAGUAUAAAUACACCUUAUUUUGUCAAAUAUUUUAAAUACUUGUUUCAUGUAAACUUAUGUAUUUGCUCUUUGGUAUUUAAUGAAUUUGCUUUGUUAGUGUCAAAUUGGGUUUGUGUUUUAUAUUUGUUGAGUUUUUAGUAGAAUGUAAGAGUGAUAUAUUUAUAGAGCUUAAAGUAAACUCUAUGGGUGAUUUUCUGUGUAAUACAUAUCUUUUGUGCGGUUGGAAUUCAUGCAUGUUAAUAUCUAAAUAUCUCAUAUUAAUUCAAGAAAUAUUUUUGUGAAAAAAUUGAACUUUAAGACAUAAAAUCAUUAUUACCUAUGCACCCUCCAUAAAUCUCAAGAAUCAAGAUUCAUACUUUCAAUUGGUAUAGAAGCAUGUUGAAUUUAAAAAAUUAAAAUCUUUUAUUCCUACACAAUCUUGAUUCAUGGAACCACAGUGACCAGAUCAUCAAUGAAAUUUUUAUCAUUGCUUUAUUUGACAAUUUCUGUGGCUAGGAAUACAACUUGAGUAGGUUGGGUUGGGUUGAUGACGAUUUAACAUUUAACACAUUUGGAUAUGGUAGCAUUGGAAAAUAUCUUCAUUGUUUCAGUGCUUCAACAAAGGUUUGGAAAUUCUUGUAAGAAGAUCCACCUUCAAUCACACUUUUUCUAGCCAUUUCCUUCAACUUCUCUGCAUUUGCUUUUAUACCAUCAUCAGAAACCAACUUUUCAAUCUUCUUCUUAAUCUCAUGCCUUGAUAUGAAUCCAUUUUCAUCUGGGUUCAAUUCCAAGCCCACCUUCCAUUUGUCGCAUAUGUAACUCUGGUUAUGGAAUUGAUCUGCAAAGUAGGGCCAGCAUAGGAAGGGGACUCCCAUGCCUAUGCCGUCCAUGGUUGAGUUCCAUCCACAAUGGGAUAAGAAACAGGCAACAGAAGGGUGAGCUAACACCUCUUUUUUUCAUUUUUAAAUCCAAGAUAGAUGCAUUUUGCACGGAAAUGAUGUUGUUUCGCUUGGGUAAAAAUCUCCCUUUUCAAGCCCUAACCCCUCUCCCCUUUGCCCCCAUGCCCAACCGUUCCUUGCCCUCUCCAGGAGCCUUCCUCAGCCCCCCACCUUCGGCACCUCUAGCCAGCAGGCUUGCGCCGACACAGACGCCAAUGGAAGACAGUGACGCCGAUGGACGAAUGCGACGUCGACGAUUUACUAUUUAAAUAUUUAUCAUUUGAUUUAUCUAAUUAUUUUAUUUGAUAUUUGUAUCAUUUUUAAUUUCUAAUUUUUUUAAAUUUUGAUUUUUAAAUAUGGGAUUUUAUAUUUAUGAUUUUAAUUUUUAAAUUUAUGAAUUUAAAUUUCUUAAUUUCGAUUUAAAUCAUUUGAAAAUAAAUUUUUGGUUUAAAAAUAAGUUUUUGGUUUAAAAAUAAUUUAAAUUUUUUUAAUUUUAAAAUAAAUAUAUGAUUUUCAAAUAAAUUCUGAUUUUAUAAAUUUGUGAUUUUAUAUUUAUGAAUUUAAAUUUCUGAAUUUGAUUUGAAUCAUCUUAUUCAUUUAAGAAUAAAUUUUUUAUUUUAAAAUAAGUUUUUGAUUUAAAAAUAAAUUUUAAAUUUUAUGAUCUUAAAAUAAAUAUCUAAUUUUCAAAUAUAUUUUCUAUUAUCAAACAUAUUUUUGACUUUUAAAUAAAUAUAUGAUUUUAUAAAAAAAUUAUGAUUUUUUAAAAUUAUAAUGUUUUGAAUUUAUGUUUUCAAUUAUCAAUUGAAUUUAUGAUAUUAUUAUUAUUUUUUAUCAUUUUUUUAUUUUAAUAAUAUAUGUACACUAUAUAUUAUAUAUUUAUGAUGUCACCUAUUCAAUCGCGGUUCAACACCAUUUCAAUUCAUGAUGCAUGAACCAAUAACUUUUCUAAUUUAAAGACUGAUCAAAAUAUUGAUUAAUAUUAUAUAAAUUGAAUUUAUAACAUUUUUAUAAAUUAAAAUAUAAAAAUUAUUUUUAAAAAUAACUUGCCAAACGCCCCUAUUUUUAUAAAAUACUAAAAAUUUAUUUUUUGCUCUUUUAACUUAAUAACAGUUUUUAAAGACAAACAUUACAAAACAUGGCUAAACGGCCCUUAGCUCCUAGGUUUCAGCAAAAGAUUCAAAACAACUCCAUCUUGUGGCCUCCGUCAACAUGUUUUGUUGCCCAAUUUUUGUGUAAGCUCUAAAUAAUGCUGCUUUCGAUUUUCAAUUGCUCUGUUCGUGCACUUUUUUUUAUAUGUUGCCAUGUAGACAACAGUAUAGUUCUUGAUCCCCCAAUCGUACAUAAUUCUUUGCUCCGCUACUAAUGCAUUACAUCAAAAUCUGUCUUUAAUUAACUCUACCCAUGAUUUUUGUUCACUAAGAUCACAUACCAACCCCUGCACUUGCAUACACAGCAUGAAUGCACUCGCUUUUAUUGAGAGAAUGGUUUCACACAUUUGAAUGUGGCAACAUUGGGAAGCAUCUUCAGUGUUUCAUUGCUUCAAUAAAGGUUUUGAAAUUCUUGUAAGAAGAUCCGCCUUCGCUUACACUCUUUCUAGUCAUUUCCUUCAACUUCUCUGCAUUUGCUUUUAUGCCAUCAUCAGAGACCAACUUUUCAAUCUUCAUCUUAAUCUCAUGCCUCGAUAUGAGUCCAUUUUCAUCUGGGUUCAAUCCCAAGCCCACCUUCCAUUUGUCGCAUAUGUAAUUCUGGUCAAGGAAUUGAUCUACAACGUAGGGCCAGCACAGGAAGGGGACUCCCAUGCUUAUGCUGUCCAUGGUUGAGUUCCAACCACAAUGGGAAAAGAAGCAUGCAACAGAAGGGUGAGCUAAAACCUCUUCUUGGGGUGCCCACGAGACAAUCUUUCCAUGGUCAGCUACUCUCUCAAUGAAACCAUCAGGGUAUUCAGCAGCUGAUCCAUCGGUGAAGUCUGAUCGGACAACCCAUAAAAAUGGUCGGCCUACAAGUUCAAUACCAAGUGCUAAUUCAUUGAAUUGGUGCUGGGUUAAGUUUCCGGUGCUGCCAAAAGCAACAUAAAUGACUGAGCCAGCAGGUUGUUUAUCGAGCCAGCCUAUGCAAGUUGAAUCCUCAGGCCAAAAGUUUGCAGCAUAAUGACCCGGAUCACUACUUGCAGGUAACGGGCCAAUUGGUAAUAAGUUAGGAAUCAAGUCACAAGCAGAUGAGUCAAGUUCGUAAACACAGUUGCAAGGAAGCCUCUUGGAAGAAUCCAUAAAUUGAAUAGAUGUGAGAUAAAUUCGGAAAACCCACUCUUGUACCUUCAGAUCAAUUGGCCACUUCCAGGGCAAGCCGUUGCAGCUCAAGACUGGAAUACCCUUCGACACGCAGAUCAACUCAUCUUUCAGAGGAGUUCCUGCAGAGAUAUUUGAAUCAUUUCUAUCAAAACCAAGAAAUUUCUUAGACAACAAGUUAAUUUUAGAAAUAUGAUAUAAAUUAACAAGUUGAAGCCUUAAUACCAUCAGUACUAUUUACGAUUCCACUCAAUUAACUUUGGAAUAUGAAGUGCCAAAGCCCAGAUUCCUGCUCCCAUAGGACAAAAAAGGACCCCUUCGAUUCCCAUCUUCUCUGCCACCUCCAUUGGCCACCGCUCAAGUGUUAUGUCAGCAAUAACACAAGUGAUCUGCUCAUCAUCAUUCGAGCGGUUGACUUUCUCAAUUAAAUCCUUCAAAUGACCCGGCAUGACUCUUGAACUACUUUCUGUUAUCUUGAGCAAGUUUUUCCGAUCGUCCCCUGGAUCCAGACCAUCUGGGAUAGAGACUAGCCCUAUCCCACUCUGAGCCUCAGCCUCAUGUGGGAGUGCAGCCAGCAGUUUAGCAUGUAUGAAGUCAGAGUUAACAAAGGUGACCUUGAUCCCGUGAUCAGAAAUCCGGUGUGCAAGCCUCAUAAGAGGAGCAACAUAUCCUUGCGCUGGGAGUGGUAUAAUCAGCACAUGAGGUCGCCUGCCCAUGGUCCUUGCUAACUUGCCAACACUUCCACCCUUCUCUUUGCUCUGAUCCCAAGCUUCACUAAUAUUGAUACUAUUUUAUUUGCCUAAGCCCUCCUUGGAACUGCAUUUAUGAAUUUUAUACCUAUUGUCCUCCUAAUUGAGGUGCAAAACUUUUUUCCCUUUCAAAAAACAAAGGGAAUAUGAAGUCCUUGCUAGCUUUUUUAACAAUGAAAACUAGUGGAAGUUCACCGACACUGUAGGGACCCCUCCCCCUGAUGACACGUGGCACACAUUUCUAUCCGGAUUAGCCCCAUCCGGAUUUUCCCAAGAGGACACAUGGCACGCUUCUCCUAUCCGGACUCCCUCAGGAGAGGCACACGACACUCGUAAACAUCACAUCCGGACGACCGACAUAGCCUAUCCGGAUAUGUUUGUCCGGAUCAUUGACUAAAGUAAGUAAGUCUUACUACGUCAUUCCGACAGCUUGCCACGACCCACGUUUCGCCAUCUGCAGAGUGAAAAGACAGGAAUGAUGGCAAGUCACUUCCCACGAUCUCUGACAGCUGCGGCGCCUCCCACGAUUUCUGUCAGCCGCCUGUAGGGUGAUGAUGGCCUUGCCACCACCUAGAGGCAUCAUGACAAGCCAAAAUAUCUCCCUAUCAUUAAAGAGGGAGACAGAGCUUCUGAUACUAUAUAUAUGGACCUUCACACAAGGAGGAAGGUAAGCUUGCGAUACCUAGUAAAAAGCCAACUAAUUAUUCUCUCUAACCAUGGUUGACAAAACCAUCGGAGGGUGUGUCCGAACACCCUGUCCGGACGCCUUUUGCAGGAACGACUGAACCAGGACUCUAUAUUGGUUGAGAUCGUGCGUCCAUUCAUUUGGCAACUACGUGGAUCACCAGGGACGCGAGGCCUCAACAUUGGCGCCGUCUGUGGGAAUUUAUUGAUUCAGUCACCGACAAAUAUGACCACACCUUCUAGAAGCCGCUCGUCUAGUAGGGGAGAGGAAGAUAACUCUGAAUGGCGCCAAGCCAUUAAGAGAAGACAGUUAGCGAGCGAACGACAACUACAAGCUCUCCUCCAGGAGACAGAAAGACUAAGAGAAGAGAACGCUGUGUUGCGUAUAUAGGCUUCAUCGACGGGGCCUCCCCGUCGUCAGCGUUCAAGAGGCCAGGUAGCAAACUCAAGGCCAGACCCAGAGUCAAUAUACCCUGGGACAGCGGGAGCCAUCCCAGAAACAGGCAAUGUUAGACCACAUGAGCCACACACGCCCCUGCACCGAGCUCCCCAUGAGGAAAGCUUAGACUCUACUCAUUUUUCAGCAAAAAGACAACGCGAUAGAAGAUCCCAGUUGUCAAACUCAAUGCGCGCAAGACUAGGCCCACAAGAGCCUGGAAGGCCAAGGCCGCCAGUAGCCACAACCUGGGCAGCACACCCUGACCCUAUGGUCACCCCCAUGGUGCAGAACGUUCUCCCGCACCAUGACCCUAUGGUCACCCCUAUGGUGCAGAACGUUCACUCGCACCUAGCGGUACGACAAGCUGGGAGAAACCUCCCAAACGAGCCACCCAUUGGCUCCAUCAGCAAAAGGUUGGACGACAUGCUCUCCACGCCUUUCUGCUCUCAUAUCAUUCAUUACGAGCCCCCAAGGGGAUUCCUUGUGCCAAAAUUCUCCACAUACGAUGGCUCCAGCGACCCCUUCGAUCAUAUCAUGCAUUAUCGACAGCUCAUGACUCUCGAUAUAGGCAACGACGCGCUGCUAUGCAAAGUAUUCCCCGCCAGCCUACAAGGGUAGGCCCUCUCAUGGUUUCACCGCCUACCUCCCAGCUCUGUUGAUAAUUUCAGAGACCUAUUGGAAGCCUUCGUGGGACAAUACUUAUGCUCCGCUCGACAUAAGCAGAACAUCAACACUCUGCAAAACAUAAAAAUGCAGGAUAACGAAUCCUUAAGGGAGUUCGUGAAGCGGUUUGGUCAGGCCGUACUACAGGUAGAGGCUUACAGCAUGAAUGCUGUCCUGCAGAUCUUCAAGCAAAGUAUCUGUCCAGGCACCCCAUUUUUUGAAUCACUCGCUAAAAAGCCUCCUACGACGAUGGACGACUUGUUUCGGCGUGCGAGCAAAUACUCAAUGCUCGAAGAUGACGUGCGAGCAGCCACCCAACAAGUCUUGGUUGUCGGAUAGGCAUCCAGAAGUGGCACGAAAAGAAGUGCCAAACUUCCGGACCGGCCAAGGCCGUCCGAUCGAAGGCAGGAAGGGCCAAGUCGCCCGGAAAGGCCGUCCCUCACACCCCUUUCCAUAUCCUAUGAGAAGCUUCUCCCUAUGAUCCAAGACAUGUCCGACUUCAGGUGGCCUAGAUCCAUCGGAACGGACCCAUCCAAAAGGGAUCAUAGUAAAAAAUGUGCCUUCCAUAAGGAGCAUGGUCACACAACGGAGACAUGCAGGUGCCUCCAUUAUUUGGUCGAAAGGCUCAUAAGGGCGGGACAUUUAAAGCAAUACCUCCGCUCAGAUACCGGAGAUAGAGAUGCUUCCCGAAAUCACAACUCUGGAGCCCCUAGGGCCCUAGCCGCCCCCAAAGCCGUUAUAAACUAUAUUAACGGAGGCCCAUCUGACGAGGAGUACGACUCCAAACGAAAGAGACAAAAGUUGUUGCGGGCAGCAUCAGUGCGCGAGCGUGUCAACUCCAUCCGGCCUGGGAUAACUGGGGGGGCCCUCGCCCCAUAGAUGGGACAAUCAUUUUCCCACCAGUAGACCCCACCUGGAUAUUGCAGCCGCAACGCAACGCCCUCAUCCUGUCCCUAAAGAUAGGAGACUUCGACGUGAGACGCAUCCUGGUUGACCCAGGCAGCUCGGCCGAUCUUGUGCAAGCAUCGGUCAUUAGCCACAUGGGGCACAGUCUCACAGGCCUCGAAAACCCUGGGCGAAUCCUGUCCGGAUUCAACAGGGCGUCAACUACUUCCUUGGGAGACAUUGUAUUGCCGGUCCAAGCUGGCCCAGUCACUCUCAACGUACAAUUUUCGGUGGUACAAGAUUUAUCACCCUUCAAUGUCAUCUUGGGGCGCACAUGGCUGCACUACAUGAAAGCCAUCCCCUCUACAUAUCAUCAAAUGGUAAGUUUCCUUACCAAGGAUGGGCAAAUUGACCUAUACGGCAGCUAGUUAGCCGCUCGCCAAUGCUACCAGAUAGCACGAGAAGCAGGGACCAGCCAGGAGGAUGCAUCCCUCCCUGAGUCCAGCCAUGCACGUGACCAAUAGCAAUUAUUGAGUUCGGCGGUCAAAGAUCCCCCGACAGCGGAUCCCUUGCAAACGAUCCAAAUUUCAGAAGAAGGUACUCACCUUACGAAUAUCAGUUCCCUUCUAACACCAGAAGAGACCCGGAACAUGCAGAACGCCCUUAGACAAAACCAUGACGUCUUCGCAUGGGCACAUUCUGAUAUGAAGGGAAUUCAUAUCUCCAUUACCUCUCAUAGGCUUAACGUCUUGCCAAUAGCCAGACCUAUCCGGCAGAGGGUUAGACGUUUUCACCCAGACAUACAAAAAAUUAUCCGGAAUGAGAUUGACAAGUUGCUAGAAGCCGGAUUCAUCAGGGAAGUGCAUUACCCGGACUGGUUGGCAAAUGUAGUGGUGGUACCAAAAAAAAAAGGCAAAUGACGGGUAUGCGUCGACUACACCAACCUCAAUAAUGCAUGCCCAAAAGACAGUUUCCCUUUGUCACGGAUAGAUCAAAUUGUGGACUCCACUGCUGGGCAAGGGAUGCUCUCCUUCUUGGACGCCUUCUCCGGAUACCACCAAAUCCCCAUGUCCCCGGCUGACGAAGAAAAGACAGCCUUCAUAGCACCACAUGGUCUCUAUUGCUACAAAGUCAUGCCAUUCGGACUCAAAAACGCUGGCGCCACUUAUCAGAGACUGAUGACGAAGAUCUUCAAACCUCUGGUCGGCCGCACAGUAGAGGUAUAUAUUGACGAUAUCGUGGUUAAAAGCAAAACCCGAGAGGAACAUGUCCUCCACUUGCAAGAAGUCUUCCACCUCUUAAGGAAGUAUGACAUGAAGUUGAAUCAUUCUAAAUGCGCCUUUGGCGUAAGUGCUGGCAAAUUCCUGGGAUUUAUGGUCAGCCAAAGGGGGAUAGAGGUCAGCCCAGACCAAGUCAAGGCAGUCAUGGAAACACCACCCCCCAGGAGCAAAAAGGAAUUACAGCGCCUCACAGGCAAGCUUGUCGCGCUAGGGCGUUUUAUAGCCCGCUUCACUGAUGAACUGCGACCCUUCUUCUUAACAAUACGAAAAGUAGGAGCAAACGGAUGGAUAGACAGCUGUCAAAGCGCUUUUGAAAAAAAUUAAACAUUGCCUCAUGCAACCGCCCAUCCUGAGCAGUCCCCUCCCUGAAGAAAAACUGUAUAUGUAUCUGGCUGUAUCGGAGUGGGCAAUUAGCACUGUUCUAUUCCACUGCCCCUCACCCAAGGAGCAGAAACCUAUCUACUACAUUAGUAGAGCAUUGGCGUACGUAGAAACCAAGUAUUCAAAGAUGGAGCUAACGGCCUUAGCUCUUUGAAGUGCCGCCCAGAAGCUCCGCCCCUACUUCCAAGCCCACCCGGUGGUCGUGCUAACUGACCAGCCCCUUCGCAACAUUCUACACAAGCCAGACUUAACCGGAAGAAUGCUUCAAUGGGCCAUAGAGUUAAGCGAAUAUGGAAUCGAGUUCCAACCCAGGCUGUCCAUGAAAGGCCAAGUUAUGGCUGACUUCGUGCUGGAAUACUCCCGAAGGCCUAUCCAGCGCAAGGAACCAAGUGAAAAAGAGUGGUGGACUUUGCGGGUCGAUGGAGCCUCACGAUCAUCAGGAUCCGGAGUAGGACUCCUACUGCAAUCACCAACAGGAGAACAUCUGGAGCAAGCCAUCAGGCCGGGGUUCUCCGCCUCUAGCAAUGAAGCGGAAUAUGAGGCCAUCCUAUCCGGAUUGGACCUCGCACUGGCUCUAUCCGUCUCCAAGCUCCGGGUUUAUAGUGACUCCCAACUCGUGGUAAGGCACGUUCAGAAGGAAUACGAAGCUAAGGAUGCAUGCAUGGCGCGAUAUCUGACUAAAGUAAAGGACACCUUACAACGAUUCACUGAAUGGACGAUCGAAAAAAUCAAACGAACUGAAAAUGGAUGUGCCGACGCCCUAGCAGGCAUAGCUGCCUCCCUCCCCAUCAAAGAAGCCAUAUUGUUGCCUAUACAUGUGUAAGCCAACCCUUCCGUCGCGGAAACCUCCAUUUGCAAUACCAUUGAGGCAAACCAAGUAGACGGCCAAGAGUGGACAGAAGACAUUAUAAGGUACCUCCAGACAGACACUCUGCCUGAAGAGCCCAAGCAGGCACAUAAGCUCAGGGUGCAAGUCGCCCGUUUCACCCUGAUUGGGGGGCACUUGUACAAGCGAUCCUUCACAGGUCCCUAUCUCCGGUGCCUUAACCACUUAGAGGCCCUGUAUGUAUUAGCUGAAUUGCACGAGGGAGUAUGUGGAAAUCAUUCUGGAGGUUGAUCUCUGGCACACAGGGCCCAUUCGCAAGGAUAUUACUGGACCAUGAUGAAGAAGGAUGCGGUAGCCUAUGUCAAAAAAUGUGACAAAUGCCCAAGGCAUGCCCCCAUACCACAUGUGCCGUCGGAGACAUUGAAGCCAAUUUCAGGCCCCUGGCCCUUCGCGCAGUGGGGCAUGGACAUAGUAGGACCCCUACCAACCGCACCCGCUCAAAAGAAAUUCCUGCUUGUCGCCACGGAUUACUUCAGUAAAUGGGGGGAAGCUGAAGCAUACGUUAACAUCAAAGACAAAGAUGUCACCAAGUUCGUGUGGAAGAACAUCAUCUGCUGCUUCGGAAUCCCCCAAACCAUUAUAGCCGACAACGGUCCACAGUUUGAUAGCAUCGCUUUGCGGAAUUUCUGUUCGGAACUAAACAUCCGGAAUUCAUACUCCACACCGCGUUAUCCUCAAAGUAAUGGGCAAGCAGAGGCCACAAACAAGACCCUAAUAACUGUCCUAAAAAAGAGGCUCGAGCAAGCCAAAGGAAAGUGGGUGGAAGAGCUACCCGGUGUCCUGUGGGCUUAUCGAACCACACCCGGACGUCCAACAGGAAACGCUCCCUUCGCCCUCGCAUACGGUAUGGACGCAAUCAUUCCUACUGAAAUAGGGCUACCCACUAUCCGGACCGAGGUAGGAAGGCAAGAUGAUGCAAAUGUGGAGUUAGGCAGAAACUUGGACUAGGCAGACGAAGUAAGAGAAACUGCAUCCAUCCGGAUGGCGGAUUAUCAACAAAGGGCAUCUGCUCACUAUAAUCGCAAAGCAAGGCCCAUAAGUUUCAAAACUGGAACGCUGGUCCUUAGGAAGGUUUUGGAAAAUACUGCAAAGAUAGGAGCGAGAAAAUUUUAAGUCAAUUGGGAAGACCCCUAUAUAGUAUCUAAGACAAGUGAAAGUGGAGCCUAUCAUCUACAGAAGCUAAACGGAACCCCAUUGCUCCGACCAUGGAAUGUAUCUAAUCUAAAGCAGUAUUACCAAUGAAAGAAAAAUAGAGGUACAAAUAUGAAUAAGUAUGUUUUAUUAGAACUUGUGAAAAUUGUAUACAAAAGUUCUCUGGACUACAAAAUACAGAGAGAAGAUAGCAGUAAAAUUACAAAAAGAAAAGCUCUCAUUGGGAAGGCUUGCCGCGCAGCUUCUCCUCCUCAGCCGGGGGAAUCGAAGGGACGUCCCGCUUAAUACCAUGUUUCUUCAUACAACAAUGGUAGCCAAAGAAGUACAUUUCGUCUACCUGCUUCUGGCAGUCCGCUUCGAGUUCCUCCCUUUCCACAGCAAACUCAGCCUCCAACUCUUCUUUUUGCACUGAUAAACGCGACUGCAAAUCCUCUCUCUGCUUUUUCUCGAUUGACACAUCUGUCCGGAGUCGCCUCACUUCUCCCCUCAGCUGGGCCAUCUCGUCCUCCGCCUCAUGCAGGCGGGCGUUUGUAGAUUCCUCCCGACUCUUUGCCUCAGCUAGCUCUAUCCGGAGAGCCUCGUUGUCAUCCUAGGCAGCGGAUAAACUGGCUUCGGCCUGCUCCAAUCUCAAGCGCAGUUCCUCUUCACUGUCUUUGCGCUGGGAGACGAAGGCCUUCAUAUAAUCGGCAGUCCGCAGCAGGUCCGAAAAAAGAUCGCGUUGUUGAGCCAUGCCACGAAUACCGCUCACCAGCUACAGAAAAACCUACAAACAAGAAGUGCAAAGUUACAACCCAUGUGACAAACACAUCAAUAUGGCAGGAAAAAUCAAGAAGUAAACUAUACCAUUUCCGCCGCUUCAAACAUUUUUGCUGAAUGCACAUCAACAUUUGAGCCGGGUGGAAUCCGUUUCAGCAUCUCUCCCAACUCCGCAUAGCUGAAAGGGCUAGCGGAGAUGCAAGCCGCAUCAUCAACUAGACUUCCCCCUGACAAAACAGUAGGGUGUGACUCCUCUCUCAGGUCCGGGGCCCCAUCAUUCUCGGCCAGCUGGGUCUCUCCGGGUGAACCCUCAUCCAGGACUAGCACCGGGGAGGUUGGGUUUUCUUCUGCCAUCUCAGUCUCACUCCCCUCAUGAUGAUUCUCCUGGACGGAUGAGCAGCUGACUUCGAUGGUUUCCAGAAAACGAUCCUGAAGCCGCCCGAUGAGGCCAAACUUUAAGUCGCGGGCCGGACGAGACCUCCUUGUAGCUGGCCCCUUCACCGGUACAAAGGCAAGGGAGCUUGGCUCAUAAGGAGGCAAACCCUAACUUGCAGCCCCCGUUUCUUCCAUUGGCAGUGCCGUAGGAGGCUACGUUUCAAUACAAGAGGCCCCGGCUACAUCCGCGUCCGGAUGGGGAGAGCCGGGCUGAUUUACUGAAGUCGCUUCCUCAGCCAGAAGAGCCAGCCGUCCAGCCGCUGGCAUUGAAGGCCCCGAAUGGUUUAGACCCGCGAGACAUCCGGAGCCGCUUGAAACAGAGGGCAAGACGGAGGGAUCUGGCGUUCUUAUUGUUACUCCCUUUACAUAAGUUGGAGGUGGUAUCACCACUUCCUUUGGGGGAGUUGGAAGUUUUAUUUCUUUCCCCUUAUUGAGAACCUUCUUCUUCUUUUUCGCUGGGGCGCCAGCAGGUGGAGAGGACGCGGGACAUUUAUUACCAGGAGCCUUCCGCAAAAGUCCUUCUUGCCUUUUCUCUUCCCGUUUGUUGAGACGGGCUUUGCGUGACUGGGUGUCCGCCUUUCGCACCGCCGCGUAGAAUGGGAGAUCUUUGAGAACGAAAUGCUCACCAGCCACCACCUCUUUGGGCAGCCGCCUCGGGAGUAUGUUCAGCAUGUACGGCUGGGGCUCCUGGAUAACCAAGUGAAGAUUCUGCGCGGAGAGAAGCGUUUCACAACUCCUCUCGACCGCCGCAAUCUCAAAAAGCCUGUUCAACCGGUCGAACGUGGCUUUCUCCACCCAUUCUACCAACUUCCCCCUUUUAUCCUUGUCUGCAACCAAGAAAACAAAACAUGUCAGCCACCUAACAAUGCUGACCUAACUCGCAAACCGCAGAAAGACAGGAAGUAACUUAUUCAUACCUGAGACCUUCAAUGACUGGUUGGGAGCUAACUACCUAUCCGGAUGCACCGUCAAACCCGCCCAUAGGCCCUUGACCAGCACAUGACCCUUGGCGGCCCCCUUGGUCGAGUCCGAAAGGCUGGUCACCAACUGAAGGGAUGGAAGGCUAGCGACAAAGCUGAAGAUGUCAUUUUUCACCUUCUUAAUCGAAUAGAUGAAGAGAACCUCCAGCAGUGAGAGGUCCAGAUUGAACAACAUGCUCAGAAUGCUGCACCCCAUCAGCACCCGGACCAUGUUGGGAUGGAUGUAAGCUGGAGGAAUCUGAGUGAAGUGAAGGAAUUCCUUGAACAAUGACGGGAGGGGGAACCGGAGCCCAGCAUUGAAUUGCUCAUUGGAAAAGAAGAUAGCGUUGUCUUCAAUUUUCUCAGUCGACACGGCCUCUCCGUCCGUAAGUUCAAUGAACAAGCCAUUCGGGAUGCAGAAGCGUUCGCGAAACUCCCUCACAUUCAACUUAUCCACGGAUUUCUCAGCAUGAGCAUCUCCGGACGAGCUAGAUGAAGUAGCUUCCUAGUUCGCAGACAUUUUUUAGGCUGGGGCUGAAAUGGAAUUUGCAUGGAGGAAUGCCAACAGUCAAACACAGCAAUCCGACCCCACAACCCUAACGACAAAAACGCUCAGAAAGCCUAAACAACACCAGCAUCCCCAUCUCAAACCUUAACUCUACCGCAAAGAAGAAUCGAUGGCCUACAAAAGGCACAGGGGUGUUGAGGCCUCGCGUCCCUAGUGAUCCACGUAGUUGCCAAAUGGAUGGACGCACGAUCUCAACCAAUAUAGAGUCCUGGUUCAGUCGUUCCUGCAAAAGGCGUCCGGACAGGGUGUCCAGACACACUCUCCGAUGGUUUUGUCAGCCAUGGUUAGAGAGAAUAAUCAAUUGGCUUUUUACUAAGUAUCGCAAGCUUACCUUCCUCCUUGUGUGAAGGUCCAUAUAUAUAGUAUCAGAAGCUUUGUCUCCCUCUUUAAUGAUAGGAAGAUAUUUUGGCUUGUCAUGAUGCCUCUAGGUGGUGGCAGGGCCAUCAUCACCCUACGGGCGGCUGACAGAGAUCGUGGGAGGCGCCGCAGCUGUCAGAGAUCGUGGGAGGCGCCGCAGUUGUCAGAGAUCGUGGGAAAUGACUUGCCAUCAUUCCUGUCUUUUCACUCUGCAGGUGGCGGAACGUGGGCCGUGGCAGGCUGUUGGAAUGAUGUAGUAAGACUUGCUUACUUUAGUAAAUGAUUCAGACAAACAUAUCCGGAUAGGCUAUGUCGGUCAUCCGGAUGUGAUAUGGCGGUCGUCCGGAUGUGAUGUUUACGAGUGUCGUGUGCUUCUCCUAAGGGAGUCCGGAUAGGAGAAGUGCGCCACGUGUCUUCUUAGGGAAAUCCGGAUGGGGCUAAUCCGGAUAGAAAUGUGUGCCACGUGUCAUCAGGGGGAGGGGUCCCUACAAGGGGGGCAACAGAAACCCUAAACACACCCAAAACACGAUCAAAACCCCCCGAAAAAAGCCCUAGAAACCAAUACCGACUCCCAAUCGCAAAGAAACUUGCCCAGCAAGCCAGAAACAACCAACAAAGCAAACACAAACGAGGAAAAGACAGAGAUAGAGAAUGUACCGAGUGUAAACUGGCGAAUGGAGAUGAAAAUCCACAGUGCAGUCACUGUCACGGCACGGGUAUUGCUAGCAGAAACCCUAGAAACUCACUCACAAAUGAAGAAAAACGCAGAAGGCUGAAGAGAAAGCACUACCAGUAGAAAAAUGCAGAAGAAAAAAUGCAACAAUAAAGGGCUCAGUCCGCUAUUUAUAGUGAGACAAACCCUCGGUAUCCCAAACGCUGAGCCGUGCCAUCAUUUUAAAAGACACACUGCCUGGGAAAUCCCAGAGACGGCGGCUCAUCAUAAAUGCUCUUCUUCCUUUUCGCCCCCGCUCGCCACAUGACCCAAUGAGCGCAAAAAGUAACCUCAGUUUCAAAAACAAUUAUUUUUAACCCGCCCAUUCUGCCCAGGCAAAAUCGACAAGUUAAAAGGGGGGCAUUGUAGGGACCCCUCCCCCUGAUGACACGUGGCACACAUUUCUAUCUGAAUUAGCCCCAUCCGGAUUUCCCCAAGAUGACUCGUGGCGCGCUUCUCCUAUCCGGACUCCCUCAGGAGAGGCACACGACACUCGUAAACAUCACAUCCGGACGACCGCCAUAUCACAUCCGGACGACUGACAUAGCCUAUCCGGAUAUGUUUGUCCGGAUCAUUGACUAAAGUAAGCAAGUCUUGCUACGUCAUUCCGACAGCCUGCCACGGCCCACGUUCCGCCAUCUACAGAGUGAAAAGACAAGAAUGAUGGCAAGUCACUUCCCACGAUCUUUGACAGCUGCGGCGCCUCCCACGAUCUCUGUUAGCCGCCCGUAGGGUGAUGAUGGCCCUGCCACCACCUAGAGGCAUCAUGACAAGCCAAAAUAUCUCCCUAUCAUUAAAGAGGGAGACAGAGCUUCUGAUACUAUAUAUAUGGACAUUCACACAAGAAGGAAGGUAAGCUUGCGAUACCUAGUAAAAAGCCAACUGAUUAUUCUCUCUAACCAUGGCUGACAAAACCAUCGGAGGGUGUGUCCGGACACCCUGUCCAGACGCCUUUUGCAGGAACGACUGAACCAGGACUCUAUAUUGGUUGAGAUCGUGCGUCCAUCCAUUUGGCAACUAUGUGGAUCACCAGGGACGCGAGGCCUCAACAGACACUAGAGAUGGAAAACCCUCGUCUCAGAAAUGCAAGGAAAGGGAAGAACGUGAAGAAUUUGAAGACCUUCACACUUGGAUCAACCCUUGUUUUCUUCUUUUCUCCUCACCUUUCACUCUCAACCGUCUGCCCACACAUAUGCUUCCACAGAGCCCUAGCUGCUGCAUUAUUGGCCUUAGAAACCAGCCGCCAGACCAGCCCAACAUGUGGGUUUGAAAAAAAUACUUUCCUGAGCUGGAACCCAUAUAUGGGCAAGCCCAACAAAGUCCAUCUCUGAUUUAUGAAUUUAUUUUAUUACCUCAAAGCUAUAGGUUUGUGGGUCUGGCCCACACUUAUUGUGGUGUAAUCUCCUAUGUGGUUAAUUUGUCUUUAUAGUGUCUUCUAUGGCUCUCCAUUGCACAUGGAACCAUAUUUAAGAAUUUCAUUUAGUUGGCUGCGUUUCAUCUCAUAGUUUUAUAUGACUGUUGUGAGUAAGCUUUUCAGGCAGUGUCCUGGAAAACUAAUAGAAUUUGGAGGAUUGUCUAAUUGAUCCUAAAGAAUUUUAGCUGAGUACAAAUGAAAUGUGGAAUUUCCAUUAUUCUAAGUUUUAAACUUAUAUUUCACUUAACAACUUUUUUUUUUCCUGCAUUACCACCUCAUAUUGGAUUGUAGCCAUCUUUUCUGUCAGUUUUUUCUUCUUUUCUAGUGUUGCUGAUGCAUUAAGAUAUAUAUCUUUUGUUUUAUAUGAUGAGGAAGUUAUCAUCACGUUUUUCCUUCGUCUUUUUUACAUACAAACUCUUAUGUAGCUUGAAUCUCUUGUCUUUUGUUGUCACAUCCCAAAACCCACUUCAAGGGCAUGACAGUCAUUUCACACCUCAAGCCCAAAGGCUCAAAGUGGAAACGAUACAAACAUUCAUAUUAUAACUGAAAAUUUACCAAUUACCAAAUUCCUAUUCAGAGUAGUAUGACAAAAUUCUAAAAUCUCUCCAAGUAUCAACUUUAAAAAAACUAACACAUCAACUAGAGUGUUAUUGUCCAUAUAACUCCAAAUUCAAAUAAUUUAAAUCGGAAUUAAAUUUUAACAUCUAAACAAUGUCCAAAAAUAAAGUUUGAACCAAAAUCCUAACAAAGAAAAAUUCCCAAGCCUAACCAUCACUCCUCGCCCGAACUGAGAGUACCUGAAAAAUUAUCAACGAAGGGGCAUGAGCUCAAUAAGGAACAUCAAUGUAGUUUCAUGGAUCAAAUAUUUUCAAUCAUGUUUGCAAAUAGGAGAUAUAACAUAUACUUAUUUUCAUAAAAAACUUUUGAGUUCGAAAUACUAAUAUAUUCAAACUUUUCAACAAACUUUCUCAUAUCUUUUUCAAAACAAUUUCUCAUCAAAACCAAAUCAAAUGCAUUCAAAAUAUCUUUACUCUGGUUAUCAAAUAACAAAUGGUGUCCAAUUAGGAGAGACUUCACAAAUGAGUGGCUAGUUUCAAAUUUGUUCUAGUUGAGGUGAACAAAACCAAAAGUCAACAAUUGUAACCCGUUGACUAGGAGUCAUAAGGUCAACUAUUAUAACUCGUUGACUAGAGCCACAAGGUCAACUAUUAUAACCCGUUGACCAUAUAAUAUCAACUAUUAUAACCCGUUGAUUAGGGCCAUAAAAUGUCAACAACCCAUUGACUAGGGCCAUAGGAACUAGAGUCAAACACUUUAUUUCAUUAAUUCAAACUUACAAAACAAAAUAUCAUAUCUCCAAAAAUUUUCACUUUUCAUAAAUAAACAAGGAAGAUUUUCAAAUAUACUUUCCAUACAAAACACAUAUUUGAUCCAUGCAAAAAGAUAAAAAUAAUAUUUUUACACUUUUAAAAAUACAAUAUAAAAAGGAAAUUAUUUUCUUUUGUAAACAUCUGCAUUAAUUUCCCUUACCUUGAAGAAACACUCAAAAUCUUGAAGUAUUUAACUCUAAAGAAUUUCCUCUUCACCUAACAUAAUAUCAUACACAAUAUUGAUUAUUGAUUAUUGAUUAUUUAUCCAAACAUAUAAAUUUGAAAAUCCUAAAAAUAUUUUAUUUAGUAUUAGGGAUCCUAAUUAAUUUCUCAUAUUAAUAUUAUUACCAUCCAAUAUUAUUUUCAACUUCCUAAACAAUAAUUUAUUUCCUUUUUUUCUAACUUAUCUAGCAUAAAUCUUUUAAGAAUAUUUAUUUGCAUUAAACUAUUAUUACUAUUAUUUAAAUCUCCUACCGAAACUUAACAAAUACCCCAUGCAAUCCUUUUUUCUUUUUUUUUUCAACAUGUCAAAUCCUUUCUACGCUUCUUUCAUCAUUUUUUUUUCUCUGAAGUCAAAACUUUUAACCUCUAUACUCACAAUUUUAUAUAAUUUUCACAUCCAAAACUAUAUAAUUUUUUUAAAAUUUAAUUUAAUUUUUUAUCUAAAUCUAUUCAUUUGAGUAAUCAAAAUUUAUUGAUCUCCAUUAAUAAAUCAAACUAUGUUCAUAAAUUUUUAAUCUUUGUGACCUAGAAAUUAAUUAAAUGAACUCUAAUCAAAAUUAAGAUAUUCUAAAGAAUAUCUAAAGUGUUUAAAACUAAUUAACGAAUAUAAAAUAUUAAUUUAAAGAUUAAAAAUCUUACCUGAAAAAUUGAUCUUCAAACCCUAAACCUUCAAACCUUCAACCCUAUGCUCUCUGAUCUUUCUGAUCUUUGUGUAAAAGAGUUUUCUGAAUAGAGAAUAUAGGAAAGAUAUAAUUUAUAUAUAGGGGUUUUAAAUACGAAAAAACCUUUUUACCCUUAUUAAAUUACUUUAAUUAAUUAAUAAUUUCUAAAUUACAAUUUUACCCCUAAAUUGGGUUUGGGGCAUUACAUUUGCAUCAUCAGUAUUUGUCUUUUUCUGUUAUAAACAAGCCUAUAUUGAUGUUGAGCCCUCCCUUCUACUUUAUUUAUGUAUUUCAUACAUUAUCUAGAAGCUAAAGUUUGUGGCUCAUAUCAUUUGUCACUUAUCUUGGUAUUUUGUCUUUAUAAAGUGUCUUAUGUGGCUCUCCAUUACAAAGGGUUAUGAAAAAGAUGUGGUUGUAAGGGCAUUCUCUUCUUUAGGUGGUAACUUUUGUUGAAAUCCAAAAAAAAUUCAAAGAGAAAAAGAGAAAAAAAAAAAAAAAGGGUUUCUUAUUAUGAAUUCUCUUGAAAAUACGUGCAACACUAUUACAAUUUAAAUAGACCUAAUAAAAGAAAAUAAAGACUAUUUUACCCUUACUUCUAAAAAUAUAGAAAAUAAUUCUAACAUUGUAACUAAAUAAACAACAAAUUAUUUUUUUGCCCUUCAGAAAAAUUUCCAUCACAUAACUCCAAAACAAAUAAUUUUAUUUUUUUGUAUCCAAUUUCCUACUUUUAGAUUAAAGGAAUCAUUUCAUUCACUAGGGAUGAUGAAUAAAUAACAAAUAACUAUCAAAAAAAAAAAAAAAAACAUAUAUGAAUCAAAGAAAAUGAAUACGAAAUCGAAUACUAUGAUCAAAUAGGAAAAGAAUUAUGUCAUUUAUCUUGGUAUUUUGUCUUUAUAAAAUGUCUUGUGUGGCUCUCCAUUGUCACUUAUCUUGGUAUUUUGUCUUUCUAAAGUGUCUUCUAUGGCUCUCCAUUGCCACUUAUCAAAAGUCUAAUUAAAAGAUAAUUUUUACUCUAAUACCAAGUUGAAAUCCAAAAAACGAUUUAAAGAUAAAAAGAUCGAGAAAAAACAAAAUUUAGGAUUUCUUUUAAAAAUAACUCCAACAUCAUUAGAAUUUAAAUAAACAUAAUAAAAGAACAUAAAAACUAUUUUAAUGUUGUAGAAAGAAAGAAAAUAAUUCUAAUAUAGUAACUAAAUAUAUAAUAACUAAAUAAUACAUAAUUCUAAUAUACUAACUAAAUAUAUCUAACACCUUUUAAGAUUGGAUACCGUAGAUGGGCCCUUUUAAAUAAUAUUUCUUUGAUGUGAGAAUGGGUUUGAUAUUUUAGUAAAAUAUAGUAAAAUAAUAUUUCUUUUAUUAUAUAAAACAUAAAAGAUAGGAUAUAUAUAUACAUAGAAAAUACGAACAUAUGUAAACAAGUUACGCCUCACACAUUUCUCAACUCCAUAUAUAGUAGUAUUUCUCAAGCAUAUAAUAACAAAGGAUGAAAAUGAAGUAGUUGAGAAUUGUAUGAGAAAUAGGUUCUAGUUACAUUGGGGUUCUUCUUGUACUAGGAGUUGUAGAGACAAGCAAAUUAAACUCCUCGUCAAAAAUAAAAAGAAGUAGAACUAGUUUACGUAUCACACUUGAAAUGAAAAUGCAUGGAAGAGAAAAGCCACACCUUCCUAGAAUCUAGCUACAUGUCCCAAUAGUGUUAGGAUUCCAUAUGAGUUAGAAGUAUAAAUUUUGUGAGCUAGCUCACUUUAUAUAUCCCCAUCAUCAUUAAUUUUUCUCAUGCAGGAAAGCCCAUUUCAAUUUUCUAUGGCUGGUGAAGAAAUAAGUGUCCCAAAGCUACCAGUAGGAUUCAUAUUUCUACCCACGGAUGAGGAGUUGGUGACCUAUUAUUUGAUCAACAGGGUGUAUUACAGGCCUCUUCCAGCCAAACCCAUUCAAGACAUUCCUGCAAGUGAAUUUUACGGCAGUCCUUCUCAUCAUCUAGGUACUUUGAUUUAUGAGCAUGAUAUACAUAUUAAAUCCAAAUCAUGUAAAAUUAUGUUUUUAGGAAAACUGGUAGUUCAACAUGGUAUCAAAGUUAGGAAAGAAGGCUCAAACUUGGGUUUUCUCCAAAAGUGGUUGAAUGUCGUAAAAGUUCGACCUACCCACUCUUCAAAUUGAUAAAUGGUAGUUUUUUCCAUUCAUACUUUCAUUCGUUCAUGUACAAGAGAAUAUAUAGAGGGUAAUCACCAUUUUAAGAAUGGGAAGGAAUGAUACAAGGAAAGAAUGAUAUAAGGAAAUAACAACUAAUAUCCUAAUAUCUCAAUAUUCCUAAUAUCUCAAUAUUCCUAAUAUCUCAAUAUUCUUAAUAUCUCAACUUUCCUAAUAUUUAAACAUUCCUAAUAUCUCAACACUAAAUAAUAUAAGGAAAUAAUGAUAUACGGAAAUCAUUCCUAAUAUCUCAACACUCCCCCUCAAGUUGGUGCAUAGAUGUCACACAUGCCCAACUUGUCUAAAAAUUUUGAGAACACUUGACUUGAGACAGCUUUGGUGAGGAUAUCGGCCAAUUGAUCUUCUGAUCGAAUCUUAGGCAAUUCCACAAUCUUGUCAUCCAAUUUUUCCUUAAUGAAGAAUCUAUCCACCUCGACAUGCUUUGUACGAUCAUGUUGUACUGGAUUAUGAGCAAUGUCACAUGCGGCUUUAUUGUCACAAAACAAUUGGAUUGGUUGCCUAGAUAGGUAACCUAAAUCCUGUAAGAGAAGUCUUAGCCAUAAUGCCUCACAAAGUCCUAGAGCCAUACCUCUAAAUUCUGCUUCUGUACUUGAACGAGCGAUGACAUUCUGCUUCUUACUUUUCCAUGUCACAAGAUUACCACCUACAAAGGUAAAGUAACCAGAUGUAGAUCGCCUAUCAUCCACUGCACCGACCCAAUCAAUAUCAAUAUAUACUUCUAUACUCUGAUGAUUAACAUUUUUAGUGAACAAAAUUCCCUUCCCAGGAGCAUUCUUCAAAUACCUCAAAAUACGCAUAACUGCAUUCAUAUGUUGCUCUCCAGGAUUAUGCAUGUAUUGACUCACUACACUCAAUGCAUAAGCAAGAUCUGGUCUUGUAUGAGCUAAGUACAUUAAUCUCCCCACAAGUCUCUGGUAUCUUCCCUUAUCAGUUGAUACUUGAUUAGGCUCAACACACAAUUUCAGACCUUCUUCUAUUGGUGUAUUAACAGGUUGACAUCCUGACAUUCCAGUCUCUUGUAAAAGAUCUAAGGCAUACUUUCUUUGAGACAGAAAAAUUCCUUCACUUGAUCGAGAAACUUCAAUCCCAAGAAAGUAUUUCAGAGGACCUAGAUCUUUCAUUUCGAAUUCUCUAGAUAGAUAAUUUUGCAGAGCUUUUCUUUCUUCAGGAUCAUUUUCUGUAACUACCAUGUCAUCCACAUAUACGAUGAGUGUGGUAAUCUUACCAUGUUGCUUUUUCAGGAACAAAGUAUGAUCUGAAUUACUUUGACGAUAGCCAAAAGCUCUUAUUGACUUUGUGAACCUUCCAAACCAUGCUCUCAGGGAUUGCUUCAACCCAUACAAUGACUUCUUCAAUUUGCACACUUUCUGACAUUGCUUUUUUGACACCAUGCAUCCUAGUGGAAUAUCCAUAUAUACUUCUUCAGAUAACUCGCCAUGCAGAAAGGCAUUUUUCACAUCGAACUGUUGUAAUGGCCAAUCUAGGUUUGCAGCUAAAGACAGUAAUACUCGAACUGUGUUGAUCUUAGCUACAGGUGCAAAUGUCUCUGUGUAGUCAAUUCCAUAAGUUUGAGUGUACCCUUUUGCUACCAGUCUUGCUUUAAAUUGUUCAAUACUACCAUUUACCUUGUACUUCACAGUAUAGAUCCAACGACACCCAACUGGCUUCUUUCCUGGUGGACAUUCUACGAGUUCCCAUGUUUCAUUCUUCUGCAAUGAUUUCAUCUUUUCAUUCAUGGCUGCUUUCCACCUUGGAUCAGCUAAGGCUUCUUGCACACUGUUAGGAAUAGCUACAGUAGAUAAUUGAUUUACAAAUGACUUAUUUGAUUCAGACAAACGAUGGUUAGACACAUAGUUGCUCAUGGGAUAUUUGACUUUGGUAGACAAUUCAGGUUUAUUUGUGGGUUUAGGAAUACCUCUAUUAUGACGGUGUGGUAACCGUUUCAUGAAUGGAUCAGGUUCCAAAUUAAGAACACCUUCAACAGACGACGAUUGGUUUGGUAUUUCAGUGAAGACAUCUUCGGACCCAAAUUGUUGACCACUCAUAUCCAACUCACCCGCUUCUUGGUUCACUAGUUCAGAUUGUCCAGAUUCAUUCUCCUUAGAGAUAUGAUAAUCAUAAUCGAGAGUCUGAAUUUCCUUAUGGUACUCCCCCUGAAGUUCAGACUCAGAUGAAAAAUACAUCGAAUCUUCAUGAAACACCACAUCCAUUGUAAUAUACAUUUGUCGAGUUGGAGGAUGGUAACAUCGAUAUCCCUUUUUAUGCAAUGCAUAUCCAACAAACACACAUUGCAAUGCAUGGGAAGUUAAUUUGGUGCGUUGGUGUUUGUGUAGAUGCACAAAUGCCACACAACCAAAAACAUGAGGAGGUAGAUUUGGGAAAGUUGGGGCAACUACGGCAUUAGUAAGAGCUUGGAGAGGUGUUUGGAAGUUAAUUGAGCUGGAAGGUACCCAAUUGAUCAAGUAUGCGGCAGAUGUGAUUGCUUCUCCCCAAUAAGAUAUCGGUGUUUUUGCUGCUAUCAAGAAAACACGAACAACCUCUAACAAGUGCCGAUUUUUCCGUUCAGCGACUCCAUUUUGCUGGGGUGUAUUGGAACAAGUAGUCUGAUGAAUGAUGCCAUGUCCUUCCAAAUACUUUUGAAGAUCAGAACUUUGAUAUUCUUCACCAUUAUCACUACGCAGAACCCGAACCUUUGCAUUGUACUGAGUUUCAAUCAUUUUAUGAAAUUUUUGAAACAACAAGUUCACUUCAUCUUUGGUCUUCAUCAAGCAUAACCAUGUCAUUUUGGUACAAUCAUCAAUAAAAGUAACAAACCAAUGUGAGCCACUCAAAGUUGGGACUUUGGAUGGACCCCAAACAUCAGAAUGUAUAACCAUAAAAGGAAACGGACUUUUGUUCAAAAUUAACGGAAACGAAACACGAUGGCUUUUAGCCAAUUCACAAAUAUCACAACGGAAACCAGAAAUAUCACUCUUUGCAAACAAACUAGGAAACAAUUUUUUUAAAUAACCAAAGGAAGCAUGUCCCAGACGUCGAUGCCACAACCAAAUUUCAGACUUUUUCUUCUCCCCCUCAGAUCCAUCUGCCAUCAAGGCUUGUUGCAACUUAUUUGAAUCCUUUGACUGCAAGUCCAAGUAAUAGAGUUUUCCCCGCUUAAUACCACAACCAAUCGUCUGUCUUGUUUGGAUGUCCUUAAUCACACAAAAUUCAGGCCAAAAAAUGACAAUACAAGAUAAGGCUGCGGUGAUUUGAGAAAUUGACAAAAGAUUGUAAUCUAAAGAUGGAACAACUAAGACAGAAUCCAAAUUCAAAGUAUCAGUAAGAGUUAAGGAUCCUUCCCCAAUGACUGGGGUUGUGUUACCAUUGGCUGUGGAAACAAUUUUUUGUGAGGAAGGUCUAAGGGGUGAAACCUGUCUAGAAUCAAAAGUCAUAUGAUCUGUAGCACCAGAAUCAAUUAUCCAUGCACUAUUAAUAACAGGUGUAAAAGUAUUUAAAAACUUACCACCAUGAUCUGUAGCGGCUACCAAUGCAGAGGCUUUCUCAGCAACAUUAACCUCUGUUUUUAUUUCGGCAACAGUUGCAAUCGAGGUUUUCUUGGAAUCCUUCUUCCGUUGAUCACGAUUAUUAUCAUUAAUAAACAAAGUGUUGAUAGCCCUAACAUGAUCUAAAGGUCCAUNNNNNNNNNNNNNNNNNNNNNNNNNNNNNNNNNNNNNNNNNNNNNNNNNNNNNNNNNNNNNNNNNNNNNNNNNNNNNNNNNNNNNNNNNNNNNNNNNNNNAAAGGUCCAUGGUCAAACCCUCGGUUCCUCAUUGUUUUCCUGGUCAUACCAAGAGUCGUUGCUUUGAAAUUAUGGGAUAUCCAGAUUGGUGGGAUCAAUCGUAUUGCAGUGAGUGCAUUUGAAGGUUGACUUAUCAACAUUAGGGCUUGUCUUAGGAUGGAUGAUCACUGUCGGACUACCAUAGCGACAAAAUAUUCAGGAUUUCAGUUUCAUGGCUCUGAUACCAUCUUCAAAUUGAUAAAUGGUAGUUUUUUCCAUUCAUACUUUCAUUCGUUCAUGUACAAGAGAAUAUAUAGAGGGUAAUCACCAUUCUAAGAAUGGGAAGGAAUGAUACAAGGAAAGAAUGAUAUAAGGAAAUAACAACUAAUAUCCUAAUAUUUCAAUAUUCCUAAUAUCUCAAUAUUCCUAAUAUCUCAAUAUUCUUAAUAUCUCAACUUUCCUAAUAUUUAAACAUUCCUAAUAUCUCAACACUAAAUAAUAUAAGGAAAGAAUGAUAUACGGAAAGCAUUCCUAAUAUCUCAACACCCACACAAACCAUGUUUUCCAAUGCUGUUCUUUUCCUUGACGAUACAAUAAGUGGGAUGGUAAAAAAGUUUAUUGGAUGUUUGGCUUAACUGCUUUUCAACUUCUUUAUUUGAUUCAUAACAGCAAUCUCAUCAAGCAGAGAAAGGGAGUAUUUUUUCUUUAUUCAAGGAGAUGAUCAAGGAGAGGAAAUUCGAAUGGUUGAAGAUGGAAGAGGGUUCUGGAAAUUGAGUGGAGAUGAGACUCCGAUCUAUGAUUCAGAUGGGAACAUCUUUGCCUUCAAGAUUUAUUGGACGUAUUUAUCAGGAUCGCUUCAGAAACCCAAGAAAACACAUUGGAGAAUGGAAGAAUAUCGACUUCCCCUUCAUUGUUACAUGGACCAUGAUUUCAAGGUGGGUGAAGAAAAUAAAAAGGAAUGACCAACAUAUGCAAUCUCGUUAUUUUUAUUGGUUUUCAUAAAUAUAAAAAUUUCAAUAUCAAAGAGAGUUUCCUCUUUUAUUUUUUUUAAAAUAAAAUGUGAAAGCAUUUUUAGAAAAUAAAAAUUUAAAAAUAUUUUCCAAAUUAAACACAAUUUAUUAUUAUUUUUUUUCAUUUUUCAUUUUUGUAUUCUUGUUUUUUGCAGGGAGAAAAAUUGGUAUUGGGAAGAAUCAAACGAAGCAAAGAUUAUAUUUCUUGGUUGUAAUUAUUAGGGAACAUGAUAUGUAUAUUGAAUUCAAAUUCUGUAGGCUUAAGUUUUUAGGAAAAUUAGUAGUUCAACGUGGUAUGAGAGCUAGGGAACAUGAUAUGUAUAUUGAAUUCAAAUUCUGUAAGCUUAAGCUUUUAGGAAAAUUAGUAGUUCAACGUGGUAUGAGAGCUUGAUUUAGUGAAAAGUCUUGUAUUCGAGCUGUCUCUUUAGAAUUCACAUUUUCCCAUAUGAAUCUAAAUUACCAAAAUCAUGUAAACUUAAACUUAUAUAGGAAAAUGAGUAGUUCAACAACAAAGUUUAUUUUAUUUUUUAGAAAAAUUGGUAGUUUAAUAUUAAAGUUUAUUUUAUUUUAUUUUUAUGUUAUUCUUUUGAUAAUGGGAUUUAAUUUAUUUAAGAUUAAAUUUAUGUUUGCAAAGUUGAAAUUAUUUAGUAAUUUAUGCACAACACUUAUUCUUCUAUUUUCUUGAUUCUUGAUCGAUUAUUUUCAUGUUGAAAUAACAUGUUGUAAAUUUUUUGAAAAAAUAUCAAUUAAAAAAAUGGUUAAUUUCGAGGACAUUGAAUUAAUUUUUAUAAUAAAAUUUAAAAUGAUUUCCUAUAAAUUUUAAAUUAGUUUUAUUAAAUAAAUGUUAAAAUUAAAAAAAAAAUGUUUAUUUUUUAUCUUGAAUUUUAACCUCAAUCUUCUCUAGUUUGAAAAUCAUUUUAUAGUAAAGACAACAAAAAGCAUAAAAAAUAAAUAAAUUUCUUAUUUUAAAAAAAUAAAUGAUUAAAUUAAAUUUCAAAUUAAUUUAAUAUAAAAUAGUAAUUGUUUUUACGCUUGAAAGUUUUUAUUUCACUUAAUUAUAAAUAAUAAAAAUGAGAGUAUUCUUUAAUCUAGAAAAGGAUAGAAAAUUUAUCCUUCUAAUGAGAUGAUAGUGUAAUGAUUAUAUUAUUUUAAAUUAUACAUAUACAUCACUUAAGAAAUUAAACAAAAUAUAUCAUUUUGAUAGUAAAUAGAAAUAAAUUUAAGAAAAAAAUUAUUUUCUAAUAAUUUUAAAUUUUAUCUUAAAAUAAAUUAAAAGAAUUCAAUUUUUCUAUUCACCUUUUAUAAGAAAUUAAAAUUUUAGUUUUCCAUAUUUCAUAUAUUUUUUUUAAAUGAAAAGAACCUUUACAAAUAAAUUGAUAAAUAAAAAAAUUAAUUUUAAGUCAAUGGAUGAUAAUUUUUUUUCCUUCAUUUUUUAAGUUUAUUUUCAUAAAAUCACAUGACUUAAUUGAUAUUCUUAAACUUGACUAAAAAUUUAACACUUGGUUUUUAAUUUCCUAUAGAUUAAAAAUACAAAUAUAAAUAGAAAUUUUUUUAAGUGAACUGAAAUCAAUAAUUUAUUUAUUUUCAUUCAAUUUUUAAUUAUAGUAAAGAUAAAGUAAUUAUAUUGGAAAUUAAUAAGUGCAUAAAUUUAUAAAUAUUUUCAAAUUUGUGGAUAUAAAUUUUAUUUUUCCAUGUUAUUAAAUCUAUCUAUUUAUGUUAUAUUCUCUCUACAAAAGAUUUUCUUCACUCUCGAUUAUUUGACAUUUUAAAAAAUUUAAUUAAAUAAAAAUCAUUUUGAAAUUUCUAGAAAUUUAAUUAAAUAAAUAUCUAUUUCAUAUAUUGCUUUUGCAAUUGAUAUUGAGACAUGAAUUUUAGCCUUUAAGAAACUUUCCCAAACAAAGCGUUAAGUUCAUUAAAGCAUCAAAAAAUUAACGCUUGGCAUGGAAUAAGCACUUUUCGGUACUACCAUACUGAAUAUUUUCCAGGGUCUUUGCUUUGGAAAUGGCUUUAAUCAAUCCUUGAAAGUUGGAUCACAUAAUAUCUUGUGUCAAAUCCAGCGCUCCUCAACAAUCUUCAUUUUGAAAACAAUCACAUUUUCACAAUGAAACUCUAUGGAAAAAUUUCUUUUCUAGCUCCUUUAUUAUGAUUUUUGCAGUAACAAACUUUUUUUUUGCUCUUUCUCUUUGUCAGUGAGUUAGACCAUAAAGUUUCGAUUCAUAAUUUUGUUCCAAACAUUAUAUGAUCCACAUGAUGCAUUUUUUGAGACUAAUUUUGAUACAACUUUUAAUGCUAGUAUUCAUCCAAACAAACUCAUUCAUAUUUACUUGAACGAUCUUAAAUAUGAUCCUCAAACUAAAAAACCAAAUUUGCAUAAUAGCAGGUGCUUAACACCUCUGGUGAGUGCUUAACACCCCUGGGGAGUGCUCAAGUGUUCAAGACUAAUUUUAUAUUUUUUUGUCAUUUUUAUUUUUUUUAUUUUUAUUUUGUUAUCGAUUUGGCUUGCUAGAGUUCAAAUACACCCUUUUUUUUUUUCAAUAAUUUUUGAAUGUUUUAAAUAUGCUCUAGAACAAUAUUGUCCUUAUUCCCAUUGAGGCUCCAAGAACCUCAUUCUUGAUAUAGAUUUGUUGGUGGUGGUGGUUGACUACAUCCCAUUGAGGCUUUAAGGAGUUCACAAUGGAGCACACUGUGUUGUGUUGGCUCCAAGAACCUCAUUCUUGAACCUCAUUCCAAGAACCUCAUUUCCCAAAGAGAGGAUGGCCGGGCUGCCCCCACUUUCAGUCCCCAUUUUCCCCCCAUUUUUUCUUCUUCAGUUUUUCUAACAGAGACACGGCAGCCCAGCCCCGAAUUUUUUUCUCUCUUUUCCCCCUCUCUGCAACUCCACUUCGAUUCAGAGCAGCGCCCAGGGAUUCACUUCUUUUUUAUUUUUUAUUUUUCAUCAUUCCAUUCACUCCACUACACCUCACCGGCCGAACACCCCUUCAUUUCUUUCCCAUUUUUUUUUUCCUUUCAUUCUCCAUUUUUUUUCCUUAUUUUCUUUAUUAUUAUUAUUAUUUUCAAAAACUCAACCCCUCACCGCCGUCGGGACACCGAUCAGUCGCCACCGGCGAGCCACUGCCGGUCGGUGAUCCCCUUCCCAUCUCACCCUUUCCAUUACUAUUAUUAUUAUUAUUAUUAUUAUAUUAUUAUUAUUAUUAUUAUUAUUAUUAUUAUUAUUAUUAUUAUUCAUUUUUCUCGAUUUGAUUAUAAUAGUAAUUGUUGUUUAUGAUACUUGAAUUGUUGAAUUAAUACAAAAUUUGAGUUAAUUUGUUGGUGGUGAAUUAAUAUGAAACUUGGGCUAUUUUUGUUUUUGCAUGGACUCGUUCUGCGAACUUGUUGGCUGAGUAUAAAUUUAUGACACGUGAAGCACGGAAUUUCAUGGAACAAAGUGAGACUCGAAAAGCUGUAAAUGGAGCAUUAAACUUAUUGUAAGCCUAUUGGGGUACAUAUUUGAUUUCUCAUUUAUAUUCAGUUUUAUUUUUAUUGAUUUCUGUAAAUAUUUAUCUAUGUAUAUUUACUUGUGUGUACAGAAUUGAAUAUUGAACAAACUAGAAAUUUUGUUUAAAUGAGAGGAAGAAUUCAGUAAAUGUGUUUUGAUGAAACAAUAAUUUUAAAAUAUUAUUUUUAAUAAAAGAAAGUUUUUUUUUAUUAUUUAUAAAAAUUCAGAAAAAUGCAUUUAGAAAAAUCCAAAAAAUUGUUUUUAAUAGAAUUUGAAAUUUUUUUUAAUGACAUUGUCCAAAAAUUUUUUUGUUUAAUAAAAAUUGUCCAAAAAUUGUUUUGUAAAUAAAGUUGUCCCAAAAAUUAAUUUUUAAUAAAAUUGUCUAAAAAUAUUUUUUCAAAUGAAUUCUUUUUCUUUAAUUAAAAUGGGAUUAAAAGUGUUUUUCAGAUAUAGAAGAUUUAAAUAUUUGUUUUUCUUUUUAAUUAAAAUUUCUUUUGCAAAUAAAGUUAUAUCAUUUUAAAUAAUUUGUAAAAAUCACUCUUUUAAAUGAAAAUAAAUCUAAAUACUUUUGUAAAUAAAAUUGUAAAAAUUCAUUAUUUUCUAGUAAAAGUAACUAAAAAUAAUUUUUGUGCCCAAAUUGAAAUUUUGUAAUAAAUUCUUUUGAUACUAAGUGUAAAUAACUUUUUUUGAAAAUUGAAUAUAAACGAAGUUGAGAAAAUAAAUUGAUUCUUUUUUUGUAAGAAAAUAAUUUAAAAUCAUUAAUUUAAAAUCAUUUUUAAUAAAAUCCUUUGAAAUUUCUUUAAAACUUUUUAAAAUAUCUUUUAUUUAUUUAAUUCAAUAAAUCAUUCUGUAUAAUUCUCUCAUUAUUUAUUUUGUGUAUUUUCGUAAUUAGAUUUCAUCAUUAUUUGUGUAUAUUGCUUUUCACUAUGACUUGUACAUGCUCAUUUGCUUGAUUAUUAAUUUUGGUAUCCAUGAUUAAUUAGUUAAUUGUCACCAUUACUUCAUUUUAUUAGUAGAGACCCGAUUUUAGGGAUUUAGAGGGGUGUUGCGGUCUUUACUGUACCUUCCCGAUAAGUAACCUGACCCCCGAACUUGAUCCGGUUUUUCACAGAUCACCUUUUCCAAAAUAAAGAGUCACACUUAGGGUUUUUAUUUCUUAUUUUGUUUUCCCUUUAAAAAAAUUAAAAUAAGUGACGACUCCAAGUCUUUUUUCUAAGAAUCAAAUUUUAUCAAAUAAAACAAAAAGCGAGUUUCGCUAUCGAGUAGGAACGCAUGAGUCGAAAAUACAGGGUCCACAAAGACCCUUGAGAGAAUAUAGGGUUUGAUUUAUGUAAACUUGUGUAUUUGAUCUUUCAUAUUUAUUGAAUUUGCUUAAUUUGUAGUCGAUUAGACUUAUGAUUUUUACCUCAAUAGUGUUUUUUUAUUUUUUAUUUUAUGUAUAUUGGUAUGUUUGGUAAUUAUUUUCAAGAACAUUUUUCUUUUUUUUUAGAGCAAAAAAAAAAAAAAAAACAUGUCUCAUAACCAACAAGCUAUUUUCUAUUUUUUGUUCUUAAAAACAAAACACAAAGUAUUUUCAGAAAAUAAUAUAUUUUAGUUGUUUUCACUUAUUUUCACUUGUUUUCUAGAACCGUUUUGAAGAAUAAUUAUACAAACAUGUAAAAUGAUAAAAAAAUAAAAUACUAGAUAUAAAAAUUAUUUUUAAAAAUAUUAAAACAAAUUGAAAACAUUUUAGAUUUCUAGAUAGACUUUUGUUUUACAAAACAUAGAAAAUAGUUUUCAAAAACUGAUUUUCAGAAUUAUUUUUGAAAACAGUCACCAAAUAUGGCAUAUUAUGCCUUUUGUGCAACUAAAAUUCAUUUUAAUAUCUAUAAAAUGUUAUUUGUGAAAAAUUUGAAAUUUAAGACAUCAAAUCAUGGUUACCUAUUCACUCUUGUGUUAAUUUUAGGAAUCAAGAUUUGUACUUUCAAUCGGUAUCAAAGCAUAUUGAAGUUAAAAAAUUAAAUUUUUUAUUCUUGUAUAAUUGUUAUCUAUAUAUCUUAUAUUAAUUAAAGAAAAUAUUAUUUUUAAAAAAUUUGAAAUUUAAGACAUAAAAUGAUGACUACUUAUUCAAUCUCAUGGUAAUUUCAGGAAUUAAGAUUCAUACUCUCAAUUAUUAUCAAACCAUAUUAAAGUUAAAAAAUUAAACUAUUUAUUCCUACAUAAUAGUUGUUCGAUGGAACCACAAAGAGUACAUCAUCUAUAAAAUUUUUAUCAUGGUUUGUCUCAACAAUCUCCGUACCUAAUUUUCUUAGAAUAUACUUUAUAAGAGUAGGACAACAACUCGAGUGGGUUGGGUUGAGUUCAUGGCUAAUCCCACAUCAACCUAUUUCAAUGGGAGAUUGAUUCAACACAUUUGAAUAUAGUAACAUUGGGAAACAUCUUCAUUGUUUCAGUGCUUCAACAAAGGUUUGGAAAUUCUUGUAAGAAGAUCCACCUUCAAUCACACUUUUUCUAGCCAUUUCCUUCAACUUCUCUGCAUUUGCUUUUAUACCAUCAUCAGAAACCAACAUUUCGAUCUUCUUCUUAAUCUCAUGCCUUGAUAUGAAUCCAUUUUCAUCUGGGUUCAACCCCAAGCCCACCUUCCAUUUGUCGCAUAUGUAACUCUGGUUAUGGAAUUGAUCUGCAAAGUAAGGCCAGCAUAGGAAGGGGACUCCCAUGCCUAUGCCGUCCAUGGUUGAGUUCCAUCCACAAUGGGAUAAGAAACAUGCAACAGAAGGGUGAGCUAACACCUUUUCUUGGGGUGCCCAUGAAACAAUCUUUCCAUGCUCAGCUACUCUCUCUAUGAAACCAUCUGGGUAUUCAGCAGCUGAUCCAUUGGUGAAGUCUGAUCGGACAACCCAUAAAAAUGGCCGGCCUACAAGUUCAAUACCCAGUGCUAGUUCAUUGAAUUGGUUCUGGCUUAAGAUUGCUACGCUUCCAAAGGCAACAUAAAUGACUGAGCCAGCAGGUUGCUUAUCGAGCCAGCUUAUGCAAGUUGAAUCCUCAGGCCAAAAGUUUCCAGUAUAAUGACCCAGAUGAUUACUUGCAAGUAACGGGCCUAUUGGUAAUAUGUUGGGAAUCAAGUCACAAGCAGAUGAAUCAAGUUCGUAAACAGAGUUGCAAAGAAGCCAAUUGGAAAGAUUCAUAGCUGAGAUGUCUUUGAAAGCAAAUUGGAAAAUGACCUUUUGUAAGUUUGGAUCACUUGGGCAGCUCCAGGGCAAUUUGUUGCUGCUAAAGGCUGGGAUAUCCUUUGCCAGGGAGAUCAACUCGUCGUUCAAAAGAGAUCCUGCAAAGAUAUUACAAUUAUUAAUUUCCAUCAAAACCAAGAAAAUACUUAGCUACUUCCCCCGAUUUUUAUUGAAUUUUCAGGGGCUAUUAGCUUUAGUCUCUAACUUGUUUUCAAUUACUAGAACCUUCAUGUUUCAACAAAUUUAAUUUUAGAAAUAUGAUAUGUGCAAGUUGAAGUGUUAAUACCAUCAAUACCAUUUACAUGUCCGGCCUCAAUAAGCCUUGGAAUGUGAAAUAACAAAGCCAAGCUUCCUGGUCCACAGGGGCAAAACGCAACGCUCUUGAUCCCCAUCUUCUCGGCAACCUCUAGCGCCCACCCAACUGUUGUAUCAGCAAUAACACAAGUGAUCUUCUCAUCAUCAUUCGAGUUGUUAACCUUCUCAAUCAACUCCUUCAAAUGACCCGGCAUGACUCUUAACAUACUGUCUGUCGACUUGAGUAAAUCUUUUCGAUCCUCCCCUGGACCCAGUCCAUCUGGGAUCGAGGCUAGCCCUAUCCGACUCUGAGCCUCAUCCUCAUCUGGCAGUGCAGCCACCAGUUUUUCAUGUAUGAAGUCUGAGUUAACAAAGGUGACCUUGAUCCCAUGAUCAGAAAUCUGGUACGCAAACUUCAUAAGGGGAGUAACAUGUCCUUGUGCUGGGCAUGGAAUAAUCAGCACAUGAGGUCGGCCCAUGGUUGCUGCCAGCACUUCUGCUUCCUCUGAUCCCAAGUUUCAGGAUUAAUACUGCUUCUCUUUAUUAGCCUGAGCCCUCUAUUGUGUGAAUCGUAUACCUAUUUGCUAAAAUUUUAGCUGCAGCCCAUCUCCCAUUUAUGAAUUUCAUUCAUUAUCUGAAAGAUAUGGUGUUGUUGCUUUUAUCUCCUAUCUAUUCUGUCUUUAUCAAGUGUCUUGUGUAAUGGCCCAAACCCAAGGGUAAAAUCAUAAUUUAGAAAUUAUUAAUUAAUUAAAGUAAUUUAAUAAGGGUAAAAAGGUAUUUUCGUAUUAAAAACCCCUAUAUAUAAAUUAUAUCUUUCCUAUAUUCUCAAUUUAGAAAACUCUCUUACACAGAGAUCAAAAAGAUCAGAGAGCAUAGGGUUGAAGGUUUGAAAGUUUAGGGUUUGAAGAUCAAUUUUUAGGUACUUUCAAUUCGGGUGAAGAGUGAUGGCUAGGCUUGAGAAUUUUUCUUAGGAUUUUGGUUCAAAUUUUAUUUUGGACAUUGUUUAGAUGUCAAAAUUUAUUUUUUCGUUUAAAUUAUUUAAAUUUGGAGUUAUUUGGACAAUAACACUUUGAUUGAUGUGUUAAUUUUUUAAAAGUUGAUACUUGGAGAUUUUAGAAUUUUGUCCUAUUACUCUAAAUAAGAAUUUGGUAAUUGGUAAAUUUUCAAUUACAAUACGAAAGUUUGUGUCGUUUUCACUUUGAGCCUUUGGGUUUGAGGUGUGAAAUGACUGUCAUGCCUUUCGAGUGGGUUUUGGGGCGUGACAUCUUGUGUGUCUCUCCCGUUACUUUGGUGUAAUUUUAAAGCUAUAUAGCCUAUAUUGCACUGAUAAACUUUUGGUUUCUACAUUACACACUCCAUAUAUGCAUUAAACUUUUUGUUAGUGCAGCCAUUGGAUUGUAGUCAUUUUUUCUACUUGGUUUUUCCACCAAGUUAUUGAUACCCUAUGGAUUUAUUCUCAAGUGCUUCAAGGUAUAUUAUCUGAAGUUACCAUUGGUUGUUUGCUUUGUCUUUUAUCUAGAACCUCAUAUGUAGCUAGCCUCUUUUUGUUGUUGCAUGAUUGGUUUGAGCUCUUCCUUCUUAUCCCAUGUGUUUGUUGACCAAGCUUGUAUUGAUGUUGAACCUGAUUGAUGCUACUAGCAAGGGAAAUGAAAUUGAAAUAUAUAUUCUUUCUCAAUGUUUUAAAUAAAAAUUAUGUUUCAUUCAAAUAUUUCAAUUUAAAAAAUCAAAAUUUUCUUGUCUUAAACAAUAUUCAUUAUCAAAAUAUUUAAAAUUUUGUUAUAUUAUAUUAUUUAAUAUAUGAAAAUAAUUUAUAUAUAUAUGUGUGUGUCCUAUAUGUUAACUUAGGAUUUAACAUAUUCUAUAUGGAAGAUAUAUAAAAAAGAGAUCAAACAAUAUAUCACAAUACUUAUCCUAUAUCAUAUUUGGUUGAACAUAAGAAAAGAUAAAUUAUAAAAUAACUUAUCCUAUCCUAUUACUAAUUAAAUAUGGGAUAAGAUAUAUUAUCUUAUUUUUUAUCUUAUCUCAUACUAUAUCUAAUUAAUUAAAUAUAGUCCAAAUAUAAAUUGUUUUGUGGGUGAUUCUAAUCAUCUUGAUCAUAAAAACUACCAAAAAGGUCGUGACAAAAAGAAAGAAGAUUCAUAGGCUUAUCCAAUAACAAGUAUUAAUAUUCAUUUUCAUAGAGACGUGUUCAAAUCAUCUAAGGCCAAAUUAGAGAUAAAUAAAUAUUGUAAAUUUUGUCAUAAUUAAUUGAAUACAUUUUUUUUUCUAUAAUAAUAAAAUGAGUUCAUUGAAUAGAGAAACAAAAACAAACAUGUUUCCAAUGAACCUAUGCUCAAAUCUUUCCAAAAUUUAAAAUAUAGAAUAUAUUAAAAUGCUAUGGUCUCUUCUCUGCACUCCACUACAUGAUAUAUUUUCAUUUAUUUAUUUAUUUGGAUAAACUUGCUUGAUCCAACUCAUUUACAUCUUUGAUUCAAAUGUGGGAGUCGGUCAGGGCCCCGGAGGGGCACAUGCCCCCCUUAAAAAAAUAAAAUCAUAAUAAUUUAAGCCAUUGACUUACUAUUUGAGGAGAAAACAUGCUUUUCAAUGCACUAUAUAUCAUAAUUUUUUAUAAUAUGAACAAUAUAAAAAAAUAAAAGAUUGUGAUGUAUUCAAGUAUUGAAAUACCACUAGAAACCAAGGUUUAAAUUUGAGUUUUGGACUUUGAAAUUUAUGAAAAUGGGGUCAAGCAGAAGAAAGAUUUUUGGUAGCCAACCAAGGCAGAAUCAGUUUCUUUGGCUGCUUCAUCUUUCAUUUAUUUCCUUUUCCCAUUAAAUUAUUAUUAAUUAUCUAACAACUUAUGUUGAAUAAUGAAGGGCUGCCCCCACUCUUAAUUACAAUACAAAAUUGGUAGUUGUUUUUAAAUAUUUAGCAUAUAUCACUCUCAAAUGCUUCUACAUAAUAAUAUCACCUUAAUAAUAUCACUCUCAAAUGCUUCUACAUAAUUCCCAAAUACUUUAGCAUAUAUUCUAGCUAGGGAAGUGAUCUCUAGUUUUUUUUUUGUCCUUUAUGGAAGGUCUUAUGCAGCCAACCUCGUUUUCUAGUUGUAUGGCUUUUAGUUCUUGGUUCUUUUCCCAUGUAUUGGUCUUUUUCUCAAUCUUAUAUGCCUUCAAACGAUCCCAUUUUCCUCUGGGUUCAGCCCUAAACCCACCUUUAUACAUCACAGAUACGGAAGUGGACGCCAAGGUAAGGACAAACCUUCACCAUUCGGUUCCAAGCAGAGUGGAUUAAGAAACCAGCAAGGACAAACCCUUGGCUUUGAUUCACUCAGCCGGUGGCAGAGCCAAUAAUUUUUCUUAGAACAAGCAUUACAAUAACCCUGGAUGAAUUUUAGAAAUUGCUGAAAAUGAGUAACUUUAGACUUUAGUCAUGAAUAAAUAUAACAUAUCAAAUUAAAAAUUAAAAAUAGAUUUUAUUAACUUACUAGUUAAAAAUUGAAAUUUAAAAAGAAAAUCUUCAAAAAAGUUAAAAAAUGGGAAGAAAAUAAGAAAUCUUACUAGUUAUUUCUCAAUAAUUUUAAUAAUCUCUUCCUAGUAAAAAGGAUCUUUAAAAAAUUUAUUUUUUUUCCAAAUAGCUACAUACAAAUGAGUUGGAAGUAAUAAAAUAUUUUAUUAAUAAUUUCCUAUGAUAUAGUAAUUAUCGUUAAAAUUCCAAGUAAAAUAUAAAUAGUUAGUUAGAGUUUGAUAUUUAUUAUUAUGUAUUAAGGUACCCUAUUCUAACAAAAUUCUAGAGCACCCAAGAGGUAUUGUUUGGAAGAUUUACUAGUAAUCAUUGGAUUUUUUAUUUCAAUCUUCAUAAAGUAAUAGCAAGAACCAAAACUAAUUAAAAGAACUUGAUUAUAAGGUUUUGGUUAACAAUUUUUUUUCCAAAUAUUAUGAGGUCUACGCUAUAUAUUUUUUGAGAUUUACAUUGACCUUUGAAGAUUUGAGAUUAUCAUGAAAUCACAUUUAAAACCAUUCAAGUACAAUUGAAUUUGUUUGGGUGAAUAAUAACAUUAGAGGAUGUACUUCGAGUUUAUUGUAUGAUGAAACUCUUUUGAGCGGAAAAAAAAAACCAAUUUUGCACAUGAGUGCAUGCUUGAGACUAUUUCUGUAUAUAUUUGUCAUUUUUUAUUUGUGUUAUUGGUUGAGCUUACCAAGGUUUUCAAAGUAUAAAUAUACCUUAUUUUGUCAAAUAUUUUAAAUACAUACCAGAACAAUAUUAUCAUUAUUUCCUACACAUUUCCAUCACUUUCAAGAAUAUCAUUCUUGACACAAAUUUGUGCAUGGUGGUUAAUUAUACAUCCUAUCAAGGCAUUGAGGAGUUUACAAAAGAACAUAAUGUGUUGUAUAUAUAGAGGUGAAGACAUAUGUAAGUGCCAGCCCCUGACCUAGGAAAAUAGAAUGUUUGUUUCAUAUAAAUUUAUGUAUUUGCUCUUUCGUAUUUAAUGAAUUUACUUUGUUAGUGUCAAAUUGGGUCUGUGUUUGAUAUUUGUCGAGUUUUUAGUAGAAUGUAUGAGUGAUAUAUUUAUAGAGCUUAUAGUAAACUCUAUGGGUGAUUUUCUAUGUCUAAUACAUAUCUUUUGUGCGAUUGGAAAUCAUGCAUGUUAAUAUCAAAAUAUCUCAUAUUAAUUCAAGAAAUAUUUUUUGUGAAAAAAUUGAACUUUAAAACAUAAAAUCAUUAUUACAUAUUCACCCUCCAUAAAUAUCGGGAAUCAAGAUUCAUACUUUCAAUGGGUAUCAAAGCAUAUUGAAUUUAAAAAAUUAAAAUCUUUUAUUCCUACACAAUCUUGAUUCACGGAACCACAAGGACCAGAUCAUCAAUGAAAUUUUAUCAUUGCUUUAGUACUCGACAAUUUCUGUGGGUAGGAAUACAACUUGAGUAGGUUGGGUUGGGUUGGGUUGAUGGCGAUUUAACACAUUUGGGUUGGGUAGGAAAAUGUCUUCAUUGUUUCAGUGCUUCAACAAAGGUUUGGAAAUUCUUGUAAGAAGAUCCACCUUCAAUCACACUUUUUCUAGCCAUUUCCUUCAACUUCUCUGCAUUUGCUUUUAUACCAUCAUCAGAAACCAACUUUUCGAUCUUCUUCUUAAUCUCAUGCCUUGAUAUGAAUCCAUUUUCAUCUGGGUUCAACCCCAAGCCCACCUUCCAUUUGUCGCAUAUGUAACUCUGAUUAUGGAAUUGAUCUGCAAAGUAGGGCCAGCAUAGGAAGGGGACUCCCAUGCCUAUGGCGUCCAUGGUUGAGUUCCAUCCACAAUGGGAUAAGAAACAGGCAACAGAAGGGUGAGCUAACACCUUUUCUUGGGGUGCCCAUGAAACAAUCUUUCCAUUCUCAGCAACUCUCUCUAUGAAAUCAGGGUAUUCAGCAACUGAUCCAUCGGCGAAGUCUGAUCGGACAACCCAUAAAAAUGGCCGGCCUACAAGUUCGAGACCAAGUGCUAGUUCAUUGAAUUGGCGCUGGUUGAAGAUUGCUAAGCUGCCAAAGGCAACAUAAAUGACUGAGCCAGCAGGUUGUUUAUCGAGCCAGCCUAUGCAGGUCGAAUCCUCAUGCCAAAAGUUUCCAGCAUAAUGACCCAGAUGAUGACUUGCAAGCAAUGGACCUAUUGAUAAUAUGUUAGGAAUCAACUCACAGGCAGAUGAGUCAAGUUCGUAAACAGAGUUGCUAAGAAGCCAAUUGGAAAGAUUCAUAACUUGGAUGGCUUUGAAAGCAAGUCGGAAACAGAUCUCUUGUAAAGUUGGAUCAGUUGGGCAGCUCCAGGGCAAUCUGUUGCUGAUAAAGGCUGGGAUAUCCUUUGCCAGGCAGAUAAACUCGUGGUUCAGAAGAGAUCCUGCAAAGAUGUUUCAAUUUUAAUUGAAUUUUCAGGGGCUAUUAGCUUUAGUCUCUUAACUUGUUUUCAAUUACUAGAAAUCUUCAUGUUUCAUCAAUUUGGUAUAAGCAACAGAUUUAAUUUUAGAAAUAUGAUAUGUGCAAGUUUAAGUGUUAAUACCAUCAGUAGUAUUUAGAAGUCCGGCCUCAAUAAGCCUUGGAAUGUGAAAUGCCAAAGCCAAGCUUCCUGGUCCAAAGGGGCAAAACGCGACCCUCUUGAUCCCCAUCUUGUCGGCAACCUCUAGCGCCCACCCAAAUGCUGAAUCAGCAAUAACACAAGUGAUCUUCUCAUCAUCAUUCGAGUUGUUAACCUUCUCAAUCAACUCCUUCAAAUGACCCGGCAUGACUCUUAAAAUACUGUCUGUCAGCUUGAGUGAAUCUUUUCGAUCCUCCCCUGGACCCAGUCCAUCUGGGAUCGAGGCUAGCCCUAUCCGACUCCGAGCCUCAUCCUCAUCUGGCAGUGCAGCCACCAGUUUUUCAUGUAUGAAGUCUGAGUUAACAAAGGUGACCUUGAUCCCGUGAUCAGAAAUCUGGUACGCAAACUUCAUAAAGGGAGUAACAUGUCCUUGUGCUGGGAAUGGAAUAAUCAGCACAUGAGGUCGGCCCAUGGUUGCUGCCAGCACUUCUGCUUCCUCUGAUCCCAAGUUUCAGGAUUAAUACUGCUUCUCUUUAUUAGCCUGAGCCCUCUAUUGUGUGAAUCGUAUACCUAUUUGCUAAAAUUUUAGCUGCAGCCCAUCUCCUAUUUAUGAGUUCCAUACGUCAUCUGAAAGAUAUGGUGUUGUGGCUCAAGUUCUUUGUCACUUUGGUUUUAUCUUCUAUCUAUUUUGUCUUGAUGAAGCAUCUUGUGUGGCUCUCCCGUCACUUUGGUGUAGCUUUGAACCUAUAUUGCACUGAUAAACUUUUGGUUUCUGCAUUACAAACUCCAUAUAUGCAAUAAACUUUUUGUUGGUGCAGUCAUUGGAUUGUAGCCAUUUUUCCUACUUGGUUUUUCCACCAAGUUGCUGAUACCCUAUGGAUUUAUUCUCAAGAGCUGCAAGGUAUAUUACGAGGAAGUUAUCAUCGGUUGUUUACUUUGUCUUUAACCUACAACCUCUUAUGUAUCUAGCCUCAUUUUGUUGUUGCAUGAAUGGUUUGAGCUCUUUGUUCAUAUCCCAUGCAUGUAUUUGUUAAACAAGCUUGUAUUGAUGUUGAGCCUGAUUGAUGCUAGAUUUGGACAAUGAAGGGAAAUGAAAAUUUGGACAUGCAAUGGCUAGAUUUCACCUUAAUAGUAUUCAAUUAAUGCUUCUAUAUAAACAGUACUCCAAAUGCUUUAGCAUAUAUUCUUGGGAAGUCAUCUCUAGUUUACUUUGUUCUUUAUGUAGGGCCUUAUGCAGCUAGUCUCUUUUUCUAGUUGCAUAUAUGGUUUUGAGCUCUUGGUUCCUUUCCCUUGUAUUGAUUUUUUUUUCUCUAUCUUAUACCUUCGAAUGAUCCCGUUUUCCUCUUAGUUCAGCCCUGCAUGCACCCACCUUUGUAAAUCACAGAUAUGGAAGUGGUCGCCAAAGUAAGGACAGACCUUCAUCAUUGAGUUUCCAAGCAGAGUGGAUUAAGAAACCAGCAAGGACAAACCCUUGGCAUUGAUUCACUCAGCCGGUGGCAGAGACAAGAAUUUUUCUAACUAGAACAGAAGCAUUACAAUAACCCUGGAUGAAUUUUAGAAAUUGGUGAAAACGAGUAAUUUUAGACUUUAGUUAUCAAUAAAUAUAAUAUAUCAAAUUAAAAAUUGAUUUUAGGAUCUUACCAAUUAAAAAUUGAAACUAAAAAGGAAAUUUUUCAAAAAAGUUAAAAAAUGGUAAUAAGAUACAAAAUGUUAUUAUUUUUUUUUCUCAAUAAUUUAAUAAUCUCUUUUAAGAAAAUUAUUUUUUACCCCAAAUGACUACAUAUAAAUGAGUUGGAAGUAAUGAGAUAUUUUAUUAAUAAUUUCUUAUGAUAUAGUAACUAUCAUUAAAAUUUCAAGUAAAAUAUAAAUAGCUAGUUAGAGUUUGAUUGUUAUUAUCUAUUAAGGUACCCUAUUCUAGCAAAAUUCUCUAGCACCGAAGAGGUAUUGUUUAGAAGAUUUACUAGUAAUCAUUGGAUUUGUGAAUUCAAAAUCUAUCAAGCAAUAGGAAGACACAGAACUAACUAAAAGAACUUGACUACAAAGUUGUAGUUGACAAUUAUUUUUUCCCCAAAUAUUAUGAGAUCUCUAAGUAUUUUUUUGAGAUUUACAUUGGCCUUUGAAAAAAUGAAAUUAUCAUGAAAUCAUAUUUAAGACCAUUCAAGUAAGUAUGAUUGAGCUUGUUGGGGUGAAUAAUAAUAUUAAAUGAUGUACUUUGAGUUUAUUGUAUGAUGAAACUCUUUUGAGCGGAAGAAACCAAUUUUGCACAAGUGUUUGAAAUUAUUUUUUAUUUUUAUUUUUGUCAUUUUUCAUUUGUGUGUUAUUGGUUGAGCUUGCUAGGGUUUUCUAAGUAUAAAUAUACCUUAUUUUGUCAAAUGUUUUAAAUACAUAUUAGAACAAUCAUUAUUUCCUAUGCAUUUCCAUUUUUUUUUUGAUAAGUAAAAGAAGUAUAUUAAACGAAAAGAGGAAACACAAAAAAUCGGUGCCCUCUAAGUAUACAGGGAGUAUACACACCACCUUUCCUAACUAGGAGCCUAUCCAGUCUAUAAAACUUACAAGAGAAGAAUGACUCUCUGCUAGGGAACCCCUGACCCAAUACCAAAGAUUACAUACAAAAGAAUAUUUCAACCUCUGAAGCGAAAGGUCCUCAUCCCCAAACGCUAACCUAUUUCUCUCCUUCCAAACUGUCCAAAAAAUACAUAACGGCGCCAUUUGCCAAGCCUUCUUGCGUCUUUUUCCCACAAACCCUCCAUUCCACUCAAGAAGGGUUGCCUUCACUGAACACGAGAGAGUCCAAGAUAUACCAAAAAGAGAGAAAAGAAGGUUCCAUAGGACCCGUGUCUUGAUACAAUGCAGUAGGAGGUGAUCCACUGUUUCUUCUUCAGAUAAACAGAGGAAGCACCUAUUUGCCAAAGAGAACCCCCUCCUUUGAAGUUGCUCCUGAGUUAAAACUUUGCCCCAAGAAGCCUCCCAAGCAAAGAAAGCUACCUUGGGAGGCACUCUUGCCCUCCAAAUUCUAUCACUAGGAAACAAAGAAAGACCCCCCGGUUCCAUCAUAGAAUAAAGGGAUCUAACUGAGAAGACCCCAUCCUUUGAAGCUGUCCAUAUCACUCUAUCUUCCUCCUCCCUUUGAACCCUGAAAGCUUGGAUCUUCUGCAACAACCGUUCCAACAAAAUAAUCUCCCAAUCGUUAAACGCCCUUGCAAAGAGAGGAGUCCAGCCAAUCCCAUCACCAACCGGAUUCCACACAUCCGAAACCCAAGCAUUCUUUGACAUGGAUAUGGAAAAAAGAGAAGGGAAAGACUCACAAAGAGGCCCAUCUCCACACCACUUGUCUUUCCAAAAUUUCACUCUUUGCCCAUUACCCAAAUGAAAGGCUACCCUGCCGUCAAAAAGCCCCCACUUCUUCCUAAUUGCUUUCCAAAGCCCAACUCCAUUUCUUCCCAACACAUCCCGAGUACUCCACCCCCUUCCUCUACGCCAUACUUUAGACUAAUUACACUCCUCCACAAUGCAUCUCUCUCAUUAGCAAACCUGCAAUUCCACUUACACAAUAGGGCGUUAUUCAUCAAAGAUAAAUUUCUCACCCCUAGACCACCUUUUCUUUUCUCCAAACAUAUCAAGUUCCAUCUUACAAGGUGAGGUUUAUAGGCUAAAGUUCCCCCACCCCACAGAAAAUCCCUCUAAAUUUUCUCCAGUCUCAUCCUUACUUUUCUAGGCAAGUGAAAUAGAGACAUCAAAUAAAUAGGCAUGCUGGACAUAGUGCUUCUGAUUAGGGUGAGUCUACCCCCUUUAGAUAUGUACUGCUCUUCCACAUAGCAAGCCUUCUACGAAAACGCUCUUCAACCCCAUUCCACACCGCCAAAGAAUUGAAAGCUGCCCCAAGGGGCAUUCCCAAAUAACUAGAGGGAAAACCUCCCACUUUACACCCCAACUCCAAAGCCAAACCCUCUAUAUUCAGCACCCUUCCAACCGGGAUUAUCUCACUCUUCUCUAAAUUAAUCCUCAACCCCGAACAGGCCUCAAACCACAUGAGGAGCCAACUUAGAUAUGUCAUCUCGUCUGGAGAGUCCUCACAAAAGACUAACGUAUCAUCCGCAAACAACAAAUGCGAUAUAUGCAUCCCCUCACCCCUCCCACCACUCACUUUCCACCCAGCUAAGUAACCCCCACUAAUCGCCCUUCUCAUCAUACUACUAAAAACCUCCAUGGCAAUCACAAACAAAUAAGGGGAAAGGGGAUCUCCUUGUCUUAGCCCCCUCGUGCUUUGGAAAAAACCGGAUGGAGACCCAUUGACUAACAAGGAAAAUUUCACUGUGGAAAUGCACCAAUCAAUCCACUUUAUCCAUCUCUCUCCAAACCCCAUCUCUUUAAGAACGGCCAACAAAAAACUCCAGCUAACAUGGUCAUAAGCCUUCUCUAUAUCCAACUUGCAUAACACCCCUCCCACAUUGUCUUUCAACCUUGAGUCCACAGCCUCGUUUGCAAUCAGCACUGCAUCCAAAAUCUGUCUACCCUCCACAAAGGCAUUUUGAGACUCUGAAAUCACUUUCCCCAUAACCUUUUUAAUUCUGUUGGCCAACACCUUGGCCAGCAACUUGUAGAGGCUACCUACAAGGUUGAUGGGCCUGAAGUCUUUCAAGUCUUCAGCUCCUCCCCUCUUUGGGACUAGUACAAGGAAAGUUGCAUUAAGAGAUUUUACAAAUCUACCCCUCUCAUGAAAUUCCUUGAAGAAUCCCAUUAUUUCAGCCUUUACUAAAUCCCAACUGAACGACCAGAAGGCCAUGGUGAAGCCAUCCGGGCCGGGGGCCUUAUCCUUGCCUAGAUCUGAAAGUGCCACGAACACCUCCCCUUCCGAAAAGGGAAUUUCCAGCCCCUCAGCCUCACAGUUGUUUAAUCUCAAGAAGGGCAACCCCUCAAUACCAGGACGCCAUCCUCCUUCUUCAGAGUACAGAUUAUUAAAAGCACCCACCACACUAUUUUUUAAUUCUAACUCCUCCGUAUGCCAACAAUCAUCCACUUUCAGCCUUGACAACCAGUUUCUUCUACUAUGCGCGUUCGCCAUCCUAUGAAAAAAUUUGGUAUUAUUGUCCCCCUCCUUCAACCACAAUUCCCUUGAUCUCUGUCUCCAAGAAAUUUCUUCCCUCAGCACCCAUGUCUUAUAAGCCUCCUGAGCCUCCUUCCUUGCUUCACAAUCCUCCAGACUCAGAGUUGAAUGAUUCUCCACUGUAUCCCAGUACACCACCUGGCUGAGAGCUUCUCUCUUCUUAGUCUCAAUUACCCCAAAAACUUCUUUGUUCCAAGUCUUUAAUAGCCCUUUUAAGGCUUUUAAUUUUGCAUCCAGGACAAAACUAAGAGACCCAGUAAAAGAUAAACUGCCCCACCAGCUCUUCAACUGAUCCAUGAAUCCCCUUUCCUCCAACCACAUAUUCUCAAAUCUGAAUGGUGACGGGCCCCUCUUCAAACCUCCAUCCUCAAGAAGAAUAGGAGAAUGAUCAGAGACUGGUCUAGCAAGAAUCCCCUGCAUGGCUCCAUUGAACAUUCUGUCCCACUCAUCCGUAACCAAGAACCUGUCAAGCCUAGAUUGAGACUGGUUGUUUAACCCCCCUCGCCAAGUAAAGAGACCCCCCUGUAAGGGGUAGUCCCUUAGCUCCAAAUCCUCUACCACUUCAGUAAAUCUUUUCAUUGAAGCAGAUAACUCACCUCCCCUGCUACGCUCUUCCGGGUAUCUAAUCAUAUUAAAGUCUCCCCCCACACACCAAGGGUCUCUCCAUAACCCUUUUAUUGAUCCAAGCUCCUCCCAAAAAACCUCUCUAUCCCUUCUACACACCGGCCCAUAAACACCAGUGAAGACCCACCUCAUCCCAUCCAUACAAUUCUUGAACAGACAUGACACUGAAAAAAUCCCUUCUUCCACCUCCAACAAAUCAACCACUCUGUUGUCCCAAAACACCAGAACACCUCCAGCUGCCCCCUUAGAGUUAAUUGCUCUCCAGUCAAUAUGUCUUCCCACCCCAAGGCUACGAACAAUCCCCGUACUCAUGUCCUUGAUUUUUGUCUCCUGCAAACACACCACGUCCACCUUGUUGGAUUUUAUUACAGACUUAAUGAUUUUCCUCUUCUCAUUAUCAUUUGCCCCUCUAACAUUCCAAGAUAAGAUCUUUAUCUUCAUUUAAUCCCUGAUCCUGAAUCCCCUCCAAAUUUGCCUUCAUUGGAAGCCAGCUUGGCUCUUUUAUAGCUUACUGUCCAUUCCAGCUUCUUUAAUUCCCUAAUGGAUUUUGUGACAGAAGACUUUGUCUUUUUAUUCUCCCUACCCUGAUUUUUCUUUUCAAUUCUCCCCUUCAUUCUUCUCAACAGGUAUAGAAUCUCCUCCUCAAACCCAACUGUCGGCAUGCCCAAGCAGUGACUGAAUUUCGCAAGGCAGCUGGAGCUCCAUACUUCCUCUUCGUCCCCCACUUCCACCUGAAGGGCCAUCGUCUCCACUAAUGGGCUUUCUAAAACCCCUCCAAAAGGAACAAUGGCUAAAUCAGUCCCAUUUGCCUCAUCACCCGACGCUCGCGGAGACAUGUUUCCAUCUUCGUGAACCGAGAGGUCCCUGUUCCUUUCUUCUUCCACGGCCCCAAACAAACCACUGAUCACUCCCACUUUCCCCACCGCAGCGCCAUCCGACCCUAAGAAAGGAGAAGAAGGAGAAAAAGCCCCACACCCCAAAGAGAAAUUAGGGGAUUUUAGUUUACGGGGGUACCUGGAAGCCUCGUUCAACAGCGCGUCGUCAGCGGGCUUCCGAUGGCCGAGGGAAGGCUCCAUGCCGCCGACGCAACUCGCGACCAACAUCUCCUGCUCCAGCUCCGUAAGGAUCCCGACAGACUCGGGGUGAGCCCUAUAAGGGACGGGCUCCCUUAAAAGGUCCAAAUGGGCCUCAGGAUUAAAAAGCCCAGAAAGCUCCUCAAUCCCCUUAGUCCAACCCGUCAAUUUGGGGCAGAGAGGGGGCGGGCCUUCGGCCCAACCCAUACCUUCCUUAGAAAACAGCCCUCCAUCCCCUUUUAAAAAAGCCCCACUGCCAGUCUUGGGCCCAGGCCCACUCCCUGAGCAGCCCACUGCAGAGUCAACAAACUCCCUGCCCCAUUCUUUGCCAUCCAUCCUGCUUGUUCUGCCACACGCCACCUUCACUUCAGUCUCCCUUUUUUGAAAAUCUGCUUUGGGCUCCCGUACUCUAGAUUCAGCGCGUGAGGCUCCCCCACCUUCAUCCCUAACCUCCCACUCACUUCUUCUCUGCAUCCGCAAGCAUGACCCAUCCUGCAACACCCUCGGAAUGGCUUCCCACCACAAGCAAAGUUCCCACCUAGUGUUACCAGCCUCCACCUCCAUUGUUCCAGGCCUUUUCAUUCCCGAAUUUUUAACCAAAAUCCGAGCCCACUGCAGCUAAGAGAAGAGGGUCGUGUCCUCAUCCACAGCUACAAACCCUCCACAGCAGUCUCCAAUGCUCUUGAAGACCUCCCUACUCCACAGAUGAAGAGGAAGGCCUACAACUCUUACCCACACUUCCUGGCUCUCUUUCCAAGUGCACCCCACUACCGGUCCCCACCUUUGCAAUAGAAACUCUCUGUCCUUAAUACGUCUGCUCCCUCUAAGAAGCACCAUAUCAGCUUCCCAUUUGUUUUGAAACACAAACAACACCAGGGCCCCACCCAACCUGAAUAUUCUUAUCUCCCCUUUCAGUAACCAAACCUCAUACGCCCAUCUCUUCAAAGAAGGCAAUGACGGGAUAGACUCAGAACUACCACCGAAACAACCCACCAGGCAAUGCCCAAGCUGUUCCUCCCUAUACAUUAUUGCCUUUUCCCCUAGGUUCACCCUCAUAGACUCCACUGGCAUACCUUUCUUCCCUUUAACUACUUCUGCAUACGAACCUGACCCUUUCUCUGAGGUAUUGGCAUUGCUCUCCUCCUUACCCAUGGACGGCACACUCUGGAAGCUAAUCCUCCCUUCUGUGGAAGAGACCCCAAGAGCCCUCAAAUUCUUAGCCAGCAAGAACCAUCCCCCUACUAAGCCACUUCCCUCAGGAAAAACUAGACAGAACUUUUUCCUUUUCGCAUCUCUGACCGAGCAGAGCAAAAAUCUCCCAGCCGCAUUAGAACGACAUUCUAGACUGAAUUUUCUUGCUCCUUCAUCCCAAACUUUUAAAAGCUUCGAGGUAGACUCUCCUCUGCACCAAGCUUCCACACCUUCCAACAGAAGGCUUAAGCCUUUUUCUCCAAAUCUUAUCCAGGAGGAGAGACCUUUGCUCCUUUCCCAGAUGGUUCCUCUUAGCCUUCCUCUGAUCUCUUCAAUGGAUAUUUUGAAAGACUUGGAUUCAACGGCAAACCAACUCUUACCUCCCUUCGGAAACCCAUGGGAGUCCCUCACUCCCAUGCUGAUGAAUUUUCUCUCACACUCAUAAAGAAAAGGGCAAAACACAACAAGACGAAAAACCCUAGGCUUCUUCCAUCACUCUCAAGAACCUCAUUGUUGACAUAAAUUUGUUUAUGGUGGUUAAUUACAUCCCAUCAAGGUAUUGAGAAGUUUACGAAGGAGUGUAAUGUGUUGUGCAUGGAUGUGAAGACAUGUGAAAGUGUCAACUGUGUCAGACACAGACCUAGGAAAACAGAACUUCUGUUUCAUGUAAACUUAUGGUUUUAUAUUUGUAGAGUUUUUAGUAGAAUUUAUGGGUGAUAUAUUUGUAGAGCUUUUGGUAAACUCUGUCGGUGAUUUUCUAUGUCUAAUACAUGUCUUUUGUGUGGUUAGAAUUCAUGUUAAUAUCUAAAUAUUUCAUAUUAAUCGAAGAAAAUAUUAUUUGUGAAAAAUUGAACUUUAAGACGUAAAAUAAUUAUUACCUUUUCACCCUUCAUAAAUUUCAGGAAUCAAGAUUCAUACUUUCAAUUGGUAUCAAAGCAUAUUGAAUCUAAAAAAUUAAAAUCUUUAAUCCCUACAUAACAUAGAUUCAUGGAACCACAAUGAGCAGAUCAUCUAUGAAAUUUUUAUCAUAGCUGUUGAAGGCUGCGUUACCAAGACCACUUCAAUUUCCUGAUGUACUCGCCUCUUCAACUGAAGAUGAUGCUUCCUUCUUUUGACCUACAAAAGAUGUUCGGACAGGAGGUCCGGACACACCCUCCGAUACUUUUAUUAGUUUUGCUCUCUAGCAUAUUGAUAUUUUUUAUGGGGCCCUUCUCCUUAGGAAUCCCUUCCCUUCUUUGACUGUGUGGGGGCCUUUUAUAGUGCUAGGAGUUUUGUCUCUUUAAAUGGUGGGAAGACUUUUUGGCUGUCAUGAUGGUGCUUAGAGGGUGACAGAGCCAUCAUUAUCCUGCAGGCGGCUGUCAGAGAUUGCUGGAUGGAUGAGUUGCCGUCAUCCUUGUCUUUUCACUCUGUAGGCGGCGCAGGGUAGGUCGUGGCAGGUCGCCUGAAGUGACCCAGGAAGGUCAUGUUGAGCAUGCUUUUGGUAAAAUGAGUAAUGAUUGCCCGCAAGACACAGUCAAGAAUCUUGUUUGAGACGUUAGCCACUGGGUUCGGAUUGGACAUCCGGACAGGGGGGUAUGCAUCGCAUGUCAGUCCACGUGAUAGUCCGGACAGAGGGUUGGAUGUGCCAUGUGUCAGUCCAUGUGAACAUCUGGACAGGGGGUUGGAGUGCCACGUGUCCAAUGGAGGAGUGCCUUGUGAGGCCACCACGUGUACGCUUAGGGGUGGUCCCUACAAUAGCUUGUCUCAAUAAUCUCAACACCUAAUUUUCAUGUUUCUUUAAUGAAGUCUAGAAUAUAAUUUCUGUCAGUAGGAAUACAGUUUGAGUAGGUUGGGUCGGGUUGAUGGCGAUUUAACACAUUUGGAUAUAGUAGCAACGGGAAACAUCUUCAUUGUUUCAUUACUUCAACAAAGGUUUGGAAAUUCUUGUAAGAAGAUCCACCUUCACUCACACUCUUUCUAGUCAUUUCCUUCAACUUCUCUGCAUUUGCUUUUAUAACAUCAUCAGAAACCAACAUUUCGAUCUUCUUCUUAAUCUCAUGCCUUGAUAUGAAUCCAUUUUCAUCUGGGUUCAACCCCAAGCCCACCUUCCACUUGUCGCAUAUGUAACUCUGGUUAUGGAAUUGAUCUACAACGUAGGGCCAGC